UACGAUAAAAGUUUAAGGAUAUAAUUUCAACUAUCACCAUACUUUUGACCGAAUUUUUACAACUUGCCCUAAUAUUAACGACAAAGAAUAUGCUGAGAACAUGCUAUAUGAAUAUUAUUUACAAUAACUUCAAACAUUUAAAAGCACACUAUGAUCUAUCUGCUCAAAUUGACAACAUUGAAUAUAGCCAAAAGUACUUGGAUAUUCAAACGAGAGAGGUAUCGGAACCACAUGUUCACAACAACCAAUGCCUUUUGAAGGUACUUUUGGGACACCAAAGUAUAUGCUGAGUCAAGCUGCCUCUAAUAACAACAAAUUCCUUUAGUUGCUUUCUUCUUUCACAUGGCCAUAUCCCCACCAGAGAACCCGUAUCUAAUUAUCCAAUUCAAUCCCUUACACAAUUCACAAAAGCCACUUAUUUCUUGUGUGGCCACAGAAUCACCUCCCUCAAUCAAAACUGUUUACUCCUCUAUCUUUAUAAGAAUUAACAAAUGAUUCACAUCUUCUCAUAUAAAGUGAAUAAGUGGAGCAGAGGAAACAGAAUAUGUUAGAGCAGAGACAACACUGAUGGAUUUUCUUAUUCAUAAAUUUUAAAGAAAAAUCAGUACAAAUGAUACCAUUACUGAAACAAACAAGAGCAAGGUGGAGUCAUGAGACAUUUUGAACUACUAUAGUGCUUAGAGAAAGGCUAUGAGAAUAAUUAAUUUGAUGGGAGAUUGAAGAAUAAAUAAAAGAUGAAGUACCUCUUAAGAUUGAGCAUAGAAGAUACAGAAAAGAGAGGUCCAGGAGCUGUUGUAGACUUCAUUUUCACUCAAAAAUACUAACGCCUCUCUCUGUUUCUCAUUGUGACCUCAUUUACUGUAAACAGAAUCAUAAGUAACAGAGAACGUGCUUCACUUUUUUUGUUUUGUUUUUUUGUUUUUGUUUUAACAAGAAGGAUUCACGCUUUGCUUCGUUUAUUACAAUAAAGAAAUUCAUGUCAUGGGCCGCUGAUUUCCAUAUAUGGAAGAUACAAUGAUCCUAGCUAAGUUCUCGAGCUGCUGCUACAACAGCCUCUACUGUGAGACCGAACUCCUUGUAUAUUUUUCCUGCUGGUGCACUCGCGCCAAAUCGAUCGAUACCAAUUGCCUUCCCUUUGCUUCCAACAAUCUUUCCCCACCCAAAUGUUGAACCGGCCUCAAUGCUGACUCUAGCUGUUACAGCUUCUGGCAAAACACUUUCCUUGUAGGCAUCUGACUGAUCAUCAAAAAGCUCCCAAGAGACAAAGGAAACAACUCUAACAGCUUUUCCUUCCUUUCUGAGUUCCUCUCCUGCUUGGAAAGCAAUCUCCAAUUCAGAACCAGUUCCAAUCAAGAUAACAUCUGGCUUGUUGCCUGAAGAGUUGUCGGAAACAAUGUAUCCACCCUUCUCGACUCCUUCAAUUGAAGUUCCAGGUAAAUGAGGCAACUUUUGCCGCGAAAGGGCCAUAAUAGAAGGUCUCUUCCUGUUUACAACUGCAACUUUGUAAGCACCAGCAGUCUCGUUACCAUCAGCAGGCCUAAACAUCAAUAUGUUGGGCAUCGCCCUAAAGCUUGCCAGGUGCUCUAUUGGCUGAUGGGUUGGACCAUCUUCUCCAAGCCCGAUUGAAUCAUGAGUCAUGACGUAGAUGACACCAGCUUCAGAUAAGGCAGAAAUCCUCAUAGCAGCUCUCAUGUAGUCAGUGAAAACAAAGAAUGUGGCACAGUAUGGGAUAAACCCAGGACUGUGAAGGGCAAUCCCAUUGCAUAUGGCACCCAUUCCAUGUUCCCUGACACCGAACCUAAGAUUGCGUUCUUCUGGAGUGUUCUUUUGGAAAUCCCCAUACAUUUUCAGAAGGGUCAUGUUGGAUGAUGCCAAGUCAGCACUGCCACCAAGGAAACCAGGAAGAACUUUUGCGAGAGCAUUAAGGCAUUGCUGAGACAGAUUUCUAGUUGCAUCACCUGGACUCUCAGGUGUAUAUUUCUGCAAAGUUGCAUUCAGGAAGCCCUUUAAGAUCAUUUAUAGCCAAUGUAUACACUUUAAGAGUUCAUAAAUGGAGUGAAAAUGAAUAAGACUUUGUCUAGCACAACUUGAACAGUAUGUAAGUGGAGUGAAAUUGUACAUUUUAGUUCAUUUCCAGUUGCAUGAAAUUAUUAGUAAGCAAAUAUGAAUGUGCCUAAUUCAAUUGGAUUUGAGACCACUCACCGGAAGUGCAUCUUCCCAGCCCGCUGGUAGUUCACCAGUGAUGAUAGACUUCAACUCAGCCGCUUCCUCCGGGUACUUCUUCUCAUAUUCAGCAAAUUUAGCAUUCCAUUCUGCUUCAAAAUCUGCACCCAGAGGAGUGUGACGACUCCAGUGCCUGAAAAAUCAUUAAUACUGUUGAUCAAUAACACUUACCAUGUAGAGAGAUUAGACAUGAAAAGAAGAGAGCUAAUAAUUCUUACUUCUGGACGUCCUCUGGCACAUGGAAAGGUUCAUAUGGCCAUCCAAGGUUGCUCCUAGUAGCCUCAACUUCUUUUGCACCAAGGGCACUUCCAUGCACACUGUAUGAAUUGGCUUUGUUUGGAGAUCCAAAACCAAUGGUUGUUGUCACCUGAGAAGAUGGUAAAACUCAAUCAAAGUGACGGAAGGUAAAAUAAAGAAGGUCAUGUUUCACAGUUAGCUAAAAGUGAAAUGAAUAGAAAUUCAUACAUGCUGGCUUUCCAACAACUAAAAACAAUCUUUGAAACUAACUUCAAGCAUAAUAAUCUAAAUUACAACUUCCUUACAAAUUUGGAAUUUUAGACGACGUUUCAUGGAAAAAUACUAUUGUAUUGCUAUAUCUAAGUGCAGAAAAUAUACUUCAAUUUCAAAGACACGUGAAAUCCCAAACCUUGAUCAUUGUAGGCUUGUCUUUAACAGCUUUAGCUUCCUGAAUUGCCGCACGGAUUUCAUCAUAGCCAGUGUUUCCAUUCUUCACCCAGAUAACGUGCCAUCCAAGACCCUCAAAACGAGUGUCAACACUCUCGGUGAAUGCAAUCUCUGUAUCUCCAUCAAUUGAAAUGUGGUUGUCAUCAUACAGAGCAAUAAGCUUUCCUAGUCCCCAGUGACCAGCCAAAGAACAAGCCUCAUUGGCAAUUCCCUCCAUUUGACAGCCAUCUCCCAGUAUAACGUAUCUGUAAAACAAUAACAUAUACACAUACCUCUGAGCAAAAACAAAACAGGUGCCACUCAUCUACAAAAUGGAAAUUCUCUUACGUGUAGUGGUCGACAAUCUCACUGUCUGGUUUGUUAAACCGAGCAGCCAAGUGUUUCUCAGCAAGGGCUAGACCAACAGCAUUUGCAAUUCCCUGUCCAAGAGGACCUGCAAGCCAUUUGGAAAAUAGAAUCAAAUUAUAAGGUAAGCCAGUCCUAUCAAUUUUUUUCUUGAAAGAAGGAUCAAAGGAGUUUCAAAGACAAAAAUCUUACCAGUUGUAACCUCGACACCAGGAGUCUCAAAGUUCUCCGGAUGUCCAGGCGUUCGGCUUUCCCACUGACGGAAGCUCUUCAAGUCCUCCUCCUAAUAUCCAAUUCAUCAGAUAGAAGCAUUCAUUUAGUAAAACCAUAAACUAAGCUAAAUUCCAAACGGAUAAGCCGCUGUUCACUCCCACAAAACCACCAUUUUAGAUGAUCAUCAAACUCUCAAAGUAAACAGGGCAAUACCAGAGACCCAAAAUAUCAAGAAAAACCAUACCCAGAAACUUAAAGUUUAGGUGAAUUCGAUUAAGAUAUGCAUAAGAUAAUGUAGAUCAAAACCAAAUGAAACUGCAACAAAUGAAAAUUGCUCAAAAAAACCUACCCUGACACUGUCGUACCCAGCAAGAUGAAGCAGAGCAUACUGCAACAUACAACCAUGUCCAGCGGACAAAAUGAACCGGUCCCGAUUGAACCAGUAAGGGUUUUUGGGGUUAUACUUCAUGACCUCAUCGUAAAGAAUAUGACCCAUCGGCGCACACCCCAUGGGCAAACCAGGGUGACCGGAAUUAGCUUUCUCAACCGCAUCAAUGGCCAAGAAUCGAAUCGUAUUGAUGGACUUCUCGACGAGGGCAGUUUCUGCAGUGGUGCCCAAUGUCUCAGCGAUGGCGGCUCUAACGAUCUGACGGCGGUAGUGGGUAGCUCUGGGACGGUGGGCGGAGCCGGUGAGACGAGGUGGUUUGGUGGAUUUGAGGCCGGAGAAUGUGGGGAUAGAGAGGGGAACACGGUCGGAGGAGGAAUUGGAGCCAUGGCGAGAGAUUUCGCGGGACAAGAGAGCUUGAGAAAGGGUGAGAGAAGAAGUGGAAGCCAUGGCUUUGGGAUUGGUGAAGGAUUGAAGAAAUGGACUGUGAGAAUUAUCAGUUAUAUUUCGUGUGGAAAUGGAAGUUCGAGCUUAUGGACUACACAAAAAUGGAGGUAAGAGACGAGAGGUGGCCGUCGGAUUAGAACUGUGGAGAAUCUCAGCCGUUGACUGUGGGUAGGAUAUCCGCUGCCUUUCAAAACUCCCUCCACUAUUUAACGGGUUUUUAUUUUUAUUUUUAAUUAAAGAAAAUAAAUGAAAAAGGAAAACAACUGUUGGUGAAUUAGAUGAUAUUCAAAUAAUGAUUUGUAAUGUUUGUUGCUCAACCUUUGCCAGUGUCGCCUAACUCUCCCUAUCUUAAAAUGUCUCAUCUUUUAUUCUAUACAUUUUAGAUUGAUCGAUUAAAAUCGUAGUGAAUAUAAAACAUAUAUAAAUUUGUCGUACGAGUAAACUUAUCUCAAUAGUAAUUAAUAAUUUGAUAUUUUGUGUAGUAAGUAUAAGAUUCAAGAUUGAAGUAAGGAAGGACAGGUAUUGAUUGCUGGUUCCCAUCGAGUCAAAGACAAAAGAAGACCAAAAUAACCUUUUAUCAUCGUAUAGGCUUUUAUUUUAUUUCUCUUAAUUAAAUGUAUAAGUUAGUAUGAUUCGUUACAUUAAGUUUUAAACAUCUACAAUAGACACAAACAAUAAUCUAUCUUAAUCCAUCGCAAUCUCGAUGAUAUUUUACUAUAUUUUAUAAAUAUUUUAAAUCAUUUUGAUAGGUUACAAAAUUUAAUAAAAUGUUUUGAAAAAUAUAUUAAUAAACAAAGUGGACUAAUUUGGACUAUUUGGACUGAUUUCAUUUUAUUUUAUGUUCAUUUGAUCGAUUCUACAAUUUUUUUAUAGUUUGUAAAUCUACUUUUGAUCAUCCUCGUAUGCGUAUCUUUAUUAAAGUUCAAAUUCAUAAUUAAUUUUCGCAUGUUUGCUUCUUACCCACUUCAAUUUACGUACAAAACAAACAAAUAAAUAAUUUCAUGCCUACAUUUUUAAUAAAUUUAAAAAGCAUCUUAAGCUUUUCAAGAAACUAUGUCACCCCCAUGGACCAUAUUAUAAUAUUUACCUACAAAUUACAUGGUACAUCAUCAUCUAUACAAACUCUUCUUUCUUAUUUAUUUAAAAGUUGUAUUUGUUUCCUUCACCUUCUAACCAAUUCAGAGUCAUUUUCCUUAUUUUUUUUUUUAAUAGUCAAAUUUGAAAACCAAAAGUUCAAUAGUAAAAACCUACUUUCUCUAUUUAUUAAAAUUUUUAAAUCAUUUAUAAAAAUAGUUAAUAAAACAAAAAAAAAUCCUUGUUGAAAUAGUAUUUAUAGACUUAAUUUUCAAACGAACCAAAAUCCUAAAUGGUAAUGAAACAUAAUUCAUAAGCUAACCUAAAGUGACAAAAUUUUGGUAAAAAACACAGCAUGACCAAUAGCAUGAAAAUACUUUGUAUCAAUAAUCAAACUUUCAUCUUUUCUAAAAAGAAAAGGUAUUUAACUAAUAAUAUAUUUAAAGAAGCGAUUGUAUACCAUCUGAAACAUUUAUGAUUAAUGAUUACCGUAUAAACUUAAAGAGAGGGCAAAAUAAAGACCCAAUUUUCAAUUUCCCAUAUCAAAGUAGUUCUACUAUGCAUAUAUUUAUAAAUAAGAUGAAGCUUGGGAACAUAAGAAUUCAUGCGAGAAUUUAAAGGCGUUUUGAAUCUUACAAUCUUACAUCAUUUUGGUUCUCUUAUUACUGGAUGUACAAUUUCUAAUGCCUCUACAAGUCACAGAAUAAGGUGCCGAGGCAGAUUGAAGAGAGGGUGACUUUUCAAGAUAUGCGUACCUUUCAUCGCCGUUCCAAUACAAAAUGAUCCGAUUCGUGCAAGAGUGUGACCAGCUAUCACCUGAUCAGUUCGAUGGAAUCAUAAUGCUUGAAGACAUCCAAGUGAGUGCAACAACGUAAUAUGUCAACAAUGAAUUUCAACGGUGGAAGGUAAGGGGUGACUUAAAAGGACAUACCCAAUGCAAGAGUUAAUUGGAAUGAGCCUUCGGCGAACUUAGUCGUCACCUGAUUAAAUAGAACAACCUGCCACACGGUUGAAGAAAAGAGGGCAAAAAUGCAAGAAAGACGGAAAAAACAUUAUUAGAAUAAACGUAAACGUCAACAGGAGUAUGUUAGAAGGAACAUGAUAUGUAAAAUAAAAACGGUAGAGUGACAUAACCAAGCAUAUAUGAAUUUCUCUUAGUAUUGGUUGAAAAGUAAAAAGAUGCAUAUUCAGAAUAUUGACAUGAUAUGGAAAGAGCAUGGAAGAACAUUAUCUACUUAAAUAUCGUUUCUUCAAAUAGAUGAAUUUACAUAUAUCAUGCUCAACCUUAUGUUAAAGCUAAGACAUUCGAGGCCAGUGAAUUAUCAUUGCAAAUCAACCAAAUGGAGGUCAGUGGAACUCAUCAACUGCAAGGAAGAUGACAUUCUUUUACAAUUAACUAUAUAGCAUAUGCUACUCAUAUCAAUUUAAGUUGAUACCUAAUCGUAUAUUUGAGUUAGUUCGAAACAUUAUAACGAGAGAUGGUUGAUUCUUACAGCCAAACUGAACUUCUUGGCCAGCUUCAUGAACUUAAGAGCCAUUUCACUGAGCAACCGUGUCCGGAGGGCCAAAUCAUCAAAAUUUUGGCGAAAAUGGAAUGUCACACUAUCAACUAUGACAACCUUAACCUGCAAAGAAAUAGUCGGUAAUUUUCAGAACAUUUGAACUGUAGGCCGACAAACGAGAUGUAGAAGAAAACCAUUUAAUUAAUAACAAUGGUUAUAAAUAUCCAAUUCAAGAAAAGCAACAACGUACUCUAGACAAAAGAAGAAGCUUCCAAGUAGCAUGGCAUCAUUAAGUAAUGUAAUACAAGAUAAACUUGAAAGACGAGGGAACUACACAUAUCUGAAUCAGUUACCUCACGCUAACAAAAAAUUUAGAAGUUCAAAGAAAAAUCUACCUACAUCUUUGUGCUCAGUAAUGAACUUGUCCAGAUAAUUUAUUAGAGCAAUUUGCUCUGUGUAGCUGCAGACACGAAAAUAAAAUAUAUUUUCCAAGAUAUCUUUCGGUUCGAUUUGAAUUUGAUGAGGUAUUGCAUUCUUCUUUAGUAAGACACUGUAAUCUGACAUAUCCUCUAUACAUGCUUCAGCAAUCUGCAAAGCACGCUCCACCAUAAAGCUCCCUUCUGUAUCUAGAAAUCAAGGAAAGCCAUAUCCCUAACUAGAUUGCAAUUUCAAGCAAAAAUGUCGAAAGAACCAGGAGCAAAAUCUGGAAGGGAACCUACCUACCUAUAUAAACUGCUUUUCCACCUACCCCACCAAAUGCACCUGGAAUUUGGACAUUUACCGCAAGUUGAAUCCUGUUACCCCAUACAGAAAGACCAUGACGUUUUAUUUCUGACCAGCAUAGAACCAUUUUCAUAUUGGGAAAGAAACAUAUAACAAAUAUUCAUACCCAAGCUGUGUUUUACCUAUGCCCGGUACUCCACCUGGCAUAAAGAAAGAGAUUUUUUAAAAUGCUCAUAUUGCUAGAAGCAUAGUAAAAGAACAUGAGUUGACAUUAUAUUAUAAAUAAAUAAAAUAAAGUGCACUAUUCUUUACAAAAUAAAGAGGAAAAAACAACGCAUUCAAUAUACAUAAUAAUACAACUGACCAGAAGAAAGGAUAUUGCUCACUAACCAAUUUCCGUAACUUCACUGACAUUAAUUCCUCCGCCAAGAAGGUUAUCUAAAUCUGCACAAGAUGUGGUAAUACGUGGAAUGAACUGCUCUUUGUGAAGCAUAUCCCAAGCAGUCUCCGCACCUGUACUAUAUAAGAUAUCAAAUUAGAUAUCUGAAAUGACAUACAUUGAUCAGAACUAACUCCGCGAUAUAUAAAUAAUAAUUAGAAAAUAACUAAAUGACUAAAUAUCAAAGUCAUUUAAAAAGACAACAAAAGCAUAUACAUCAUAUACAUCAAUGCAUUGACUGAUAAUACAUCUACGUUAAUAUUUAAAACAGCUAAUCUACAGUAAAUGAGCACGUCAAGGUAUAUCAUAAGAUAUUUACACUUUUGAUAAAGUAUUAUCCACAUUCAUUGGGGUAAUGAUAGAAACUCGUAACAAUUGUUCAAUACGAAUAACUUUUUUUGCAGAAGAAAUGAGAUACACACAAAUACAUCAUUACCAAUUUAGGGAAAUAAACCACUAUGGGAUAAGUUAACAAUAUAAAAAAUAUAUUAUUAUAUAAAACACAGUUGAAGCUUCAUUUAAAUGGGCCAUACCUAUGACAAAUUGUCAUUAAAAUAUUUUAGAGAGAAGAGCCAGUUUUGUCUAUUCCUUGAUCUAUCUGCUUUUAUUUGGAGUAAAUUAGGAAGUACUCAUCUUUGAAGAAGAAUCUUCAGAUCCAAUAAAAUGACGACAUUUAAAACAAACCACAUGCACCAUAUGCAUAAGUAACACAGUUCAGAAUUUUCUUCUUUGUUUCCCUUUCAAAAAAUCAACUAUGCAAAGAGGAAAAUGUACCAUUAACAAUAGCACCACUCCCGUCUGACCUGUCCAGCCCACGACCAUGUGAUGCAAGCUUGAGAACAUCAAAAGCUUCAUUGUUCGAGAUUUCCAAUUCUGAAUCACAUGAGAAGGCUUGUAAGAAGCCCUCAAUAUCCAAAGACAAGGAUUUAAAGUAAAAAUUAAAAUAACAAGAUCGAUGAAUCUGAGCAGGAAAGUAUAACUAAAUAUAUAAAAUUAAGAGUAAUACACGUAGUAUAAACCACGGCAUGAUGAGAGGAAAAUCCCCCAAGACAAGUUCAUUUUCAUGAAAAUUUCUUACAAAUAAGCUGAAGUGCGUGAAUUUUGGGUUACUAAAAAUGGAGAAAAAGGCCAUGCUUCCAUCCAAUCAUAGUUUAAGAUCAAAGACAUGCUACGUUAUUUGUUUAUUUUAACAAGGAUGUUGAGAAGAUUGACAGUUCAAAUAAAUUCCCUUCGAGGCAGUAAAGAUCGACUGCUUGAAAUUAAUAAAACACGACGAGAGAAGCAAGUUAAAGUUGAAACAUCUUCUUUAAGGACCAACAAUAACAGCCUUUUCAAAUACCUAACCUUAAGAGUAUAGUAAAAGGAAGAAUUAACCAAUGCUGUGUAUAGUUUUGGUCUUCAAAACUGUUUGAUUAAUUCCAAUAGGAACUUGCAAGGAUAUAAAAAUAAUUUCCGUCCGAAACUCAACACAAAUCUAAUCCAAUCCAAAGAAGUAUGGUAAUCAUGUAACAAUCGUUGCAAUUAACAUCUUUAAGACAGUCAAAAUAUCUAAGACUCUAAUGGUCUUUUCCUAUUUCAAGUUCUGUUCAGGAUCGCCAAUUGCUUAAGAGGUUAAACAUUCCUGCAAUGAAAAUUAAUCUGUCUGUUCCAAUUUCAACUUCCUUGAUCAAAGACUCGGGCGUCGAGUUAUAUCAUACAAGUGGAGAAACACACGACAAAUAUAGAGAAACAACAUAUGUACAAAGUUCGAGAACAAAUGACAAACAAUAGAUUUUGAAGCAAAAAAUAGAAGUUGAAAAAGAAGUUCGUUGAUGAGAGAAAGAAGAGCAAUGAUACCUCGAGCAAGGUCGGAAGGAGAAACGGAAGCGAGAGAGGAGAGAGUAGUGUAGCCGGAUGAAAUCAGUUUACCCCGAAGCGUGGCGGAGAUGGGUAACCUCCCGACCUCCAUUUUCGGUUCCUCUAUGGAUCUCGAAGAGACACUAUCGGCUAUCGCAAGAAGAAAAUGAAAGGAAAUGGAGUGUUCUCGCGCGCGCAGAGUCACUGCCGCCUAAAUUCUUUUACGUUGAAUUGAGAGUGUUCUUUUAUGGUAAUUCUCUUUUCUAAUUUAAAUUUCAAAACUAAAUAAAAUAAAAUAAACGCUAACAAAACAAAUAUUUACUAAAUAUAAAAAAAUUAGAUUUCUUCAGUAAUAAAUUUUAUUACUAUGUAUAUUAAUAUAAUGACAGAAGCAUACCCAUCUGAAUGGUAAAAUUGAAUUGGGUUGGGUUGAGACAUUUUCAACCCAACCCAUACUUUUGGGUUAUUUAGUUUCUAAUCCAACCCAAUUCAUAUUUUACGAGUUUUUGGAUUGUGUAUAUAAUCUUUUUUUAAUGUUUUUUCCAUUUUAUAGUUUAUAAGAUGGUAGAAGUUUGAAAUGUUUAAAUUUCAAACAUACAUAAUUCAAACUUUUAUACAAUAAAUUUAAGAUUUAUAUAUCUUUAAUUUUUUUAUUAAAAUAAUAUUUAUUUAUUUAUAUAUUAUAUUAAUUCGGGUUGAGUUUGAUUGAACCAAAAUUUUCAACCCUCCAACCCGAGGCCCAACCCAACCCGAAAAAAUCAAAAAAAUUUAACUCAACCAAACUCAUAUUUUAACCUAACUCAAUUCAACAUUUAUAAUAUGGGUUGGGUAAUUCGGAUUAUUGGGGUUCAACGCAUAUUUGUACACCCCUACUCAUCUCUAUUAAUGUCCAUAUAGAAUCUGACAUUUUUUAUGUUGUGAAUAUUUAGUUAAAUUUGCUAUUUUUUAUUAUUUUUCAAUUACAUAACCAUCCCAAUAAUUAUUAUAUUUACACUUUUUAAAUUUCAAUUAUAAACUAAUAUUAAAUUUGGACCCACAAAUGAAAAAAAGUUAAACCGUGGCACUUAUGUUAGAGUUUAUAUUGUGUUAUAUAAGUUUGGAGGUCUAAUUUAACCCAAUUUUAACAUUCAAAUAACUUUAAAAGGUUGAUUUUGUAAAAGUUUAAAGUUUAAUAAUAUAAUUUGUACUUUUACGUUAGUUUUACAAAAUAAUUUUAAAAAAACAAUUUUCUACUUUUAUCCAUAAAUUUAAAACAUUGGGAUCCAUUUGUAAUUUCGAUUUCACCAUAAACUUAGUUAAAACAUACCAAUUUUUGCCCCAUGUUAUCUUUGACAAGAAGGGAUGUAAAAAUUUCCCUUAACUCACUAUUUUAAAUAUCAUAAUUUUUUUCACAAUUUUGAGUUUGGUCAGUGAAUAAUUUGUCCCUACUUUUUAUUUUUAGUAAUUGUUAAAACAAAAUUGUGAAAUUUUCAGCAGUGAUAGACAAGAUUCGAACCUAGAAUAUUUGGACUUUGAAGGGACAGAGUCAUUAUACCAAAGACAAAAUUUAAUAACAAUAAAACAUUAUUUAAUGUAUGUUGUAAUCUAAUACUUCAAAAUUAAUAUUAAAAUACAGAAAUCGAAAAUGUGGAAGGACAUGCUCCUUGACCCUUUGAUAUAUCAACCCCUCCUUUACAGCAAUGUGAAUUGUCAAGAAUGACAAUGGGACGAAGCAGGGUCGGAGAUGCACUCUCCCUCGUCUCUUCAUCAUUCUUCGUCCGAAGAUUGGGUUCCGAGAAGAGAAAAUUCCCACUUUUUAUUUUUUAAAUAUUUUUUAUUUACUAAGUUAAAUUUUAGUAUUUUGUAUUGAAAUUGUAAAUAUGCUAGGUAACAAAUUAGUAUUAUUAUUGUUUUAUUUAUCUAAAUUUACAAUUAAUACAUAACAUGUCAAUAUUUGUUACAAAAUAACUGUCUAAAACAUCCACUUCAAAGAUCUAAGGUGACAAAUGAUCCAAAUUUUAAAAGAAAAAAAAAAUGUGAAAAAAGGUCUCUGUUUUUCUUUUAUAAAUGAGAAUAUGAUACAAACUGUAACAAAUAUAAGAGUCUUCUUAGUUGUAAGUAUGAUACAGGUGAAUCACUACAUAAUGCAACAUAUCGAUGGCAUAUCUCAUGAAACCAACCAAAAUCUCCCAAUAAGUUAACAGAAGGCAUUGAGCAUUGGAAGUUCCGCAUUGAUGGCCCGGGUGCUUCAUCGAGCUCCUGAUAUGAUUCCAUUUGUUGUCUAAGAAGUCGCACAUGGAAGAAGAGAUGCAAAAGAAUGCAAAUUCCUUUUGUUGGAAUUUGGGAACUGAAGCUACAGCUACUGUUGUUGCUGUAGAGAUGCUUGGAUGAUAGACGUAAGUGAUGGAUGGAUUCGGGCUGUUCUUAGUGAGCGAGCUGCACUCCUUCCCUCGGUGUAUUCUUCUCCUAAUGGCCAUCUCGGUCGCACGUCAUACUGGGAACAAAAUGUAAACUUGAGAAGGAUCGAAAAACCAGAAAAUAAAAGGAGGAUACUGUCAUCAUAAACUAGAAUAUUCUACAGGCUCUUCAAAUCAUUUUGGACAACAUAAUUGUAUCCAUAACUUCAGAAGGGGCUGACGUCAAACUGACGCAAACGUUCUAACUCGAGACCAGCUCGCCUGACACCCCAUGGGCUUGUAUUAUUCUUUUUAUACGCUCAAAAGCAGAGGCAGAACCCAAACAUUUGAUAGCUUCAUCAACUAACUUGUUUCUAUUUAAUUCAAGGGGCAGAGGGAUUACAGAUGAGGGAUUAGAACCAUACCAUUGUAUCUUCAGGUUCAUCAGCUGGUGGAGGAGGAUCAAAUCUCCCUAUGCGAAAAUGCUCGAGGCCCGUCCAAGCCACCAUUACACCUUUGCCAACACAAUUAAAAGUAAAUGGGUUCCUAUGGCGUGAAACAAAUAUGAAUACCAUAUAGUGUAUGAAUUUAUUUAAAUAAGCUUGCACCAGGAAUGAUCAGCAAAGCCGUUGUAUAUUAAGAUUCUUCUGCAUAAGAAAUCGCUACUUUAUUUAGGAAAGCUCUAUAAUUCUCUCACAAACACAUCAACUAGCACACUUGGAGCUCAAAAAGAAAUCACGAGCAUCAAUUAUUUUCAAAUGAUAAUUGGUCAACCUACAGUUUGAUGUCUCAGGUUCAGGUUCUGAACUGUUUAUUAAUUUAGUAGACACAAACAUAUCCACAAUUUAACAUCAAGUUGAGCUAAAGAAAUUAUACCAUUAUCAGUGCAGAGACUGGGAGGAGGGCAGACAAGCUGCAGGCCCUUCUUCCUGACAACCGCCAUAAGUUGAGCCCUAACAUACUUAUUUGAUGCAACACCUCCUGAGACAACCUGCAUAGGCAGAACAUAAGAGAAUUCCUCACUUCAACUAUGUGUGCAGCUCACUGGCAAGAAAAUGUAAAUGUAAGAUGAAAGAAUCAUGAGAUAUAAAGGAACAAAAGAAGUUUUUCGUCUCAUUUUACCAAAUGUCUUAUGGAUGGUUCAAUCUUCAACGCCCAUUCAAUUGCUCGUUCACAUUUGUCCUCUAGAUGUAGCACUGCAACACGCUGCAAUGAAUUUCAAAUGGAUCAGUUGAUGUAACAAUAUAAAUUUAGUCCAUACAGUUACAGACUGAUGGAUACCUGAAAGGAGGCAGCUAUAUCAGCCCUUACACUUCUGUCUUGGAUGCUUGCAGACGACAGAGGAAUUUUUGUGUCACUGCACACGGCAUGUACAUUCAUCAAAUGACUCAGAAAAUAAAUUAAAACAGCAACUUUCAACCCAUCAAAAGUCUCUUCAAUAAGCUUCUCAGACAUAACCAUCAACCCAGUUCCUAGCAAUCAGACGAAACUGUAGAUAUGGAAACAAACUACGCAAGACAGAAAACCCAAUUGCUCAGAUAUUACAUGUGAAAUUAAAACCAUGGGUUAUUUAAAUUCCGAUAGAGAUAUCAAAACUUCAAAUCUAAUAGACCUUUAAUCUUGCAAUACAAUAAAUAUUAACUAUGCCUGACCCUUUUUUACAUAUAUGGAUUUUCAUUUUUCUGUAUAUUAUACUUGCUGGUGAUUUUGUUAUUAGAAAGGAUGAAUAAGAUAAUAAGAUAACAAAAAAAUAUUUAGAAAAUCAGUUUCCUUUAUAAAAAUUGUAAGUAUGCACAUUCCAGAUAAAUACACACAUGUUUCGGGAUUCAAUAGCCAGCCUGACUUGGGUCUUCAGCCCCGCAUAGGAGAAGUUGCAAUCUUUAUGUUGCUUCAUUGGAGUCUAAAGAAAGAAAUAUUUGAAGAACUUAAUGUACACUCUAACAUAGAAAUGUAUGGUUAUAAAAUGUUUCUCAUGUUUAUGCACCACCUACACGAUAAAAACAGGCAUAUGCAAUGACGAACAACAUAAUGAGUUUGAAGACUUACAGAAAACUUUAUUGACUUUGGAUCCCCCUCUCUGGCAAGCUCCUCUAUAGCCGGCCCACCACUCUUCCUCAGAUCAAGACCAAGCCAUUUGGCAGUCUUGUCAUACGCCUCCCCAAUGGCAUCGUCUAUUGUUGUUCCAAGUUGUAUGUAUUGGCCAAGAUCUUGUGCGAGAACAAGUAAAUUGUGUCCCCCUAGAAUGUAUGACAUUUAAUUUUUCAUUCUUUAAAAUCUUUGUCAAAACUCAAAAGCUCGAAUGCAAGCAACCGAAACCAUUUUGAGUCAUCCUAAUAACACGUUCAAGAGGACCCAAUAAUUAACUUCUCAAUGAAUAGCUAAUAGAAUAAACUGAUAUGAUGACACGGACAAAGUUUAACCCUAAAGCCAUGAAAAAGAUCCAGUUUUCCUUUUUCUCUCCAUCGUGGCUGAUUAAAAAUAAAGUAUGAGUUUGUCGUCUUUUUCAAGCGUCCCAUCCAUGAAUCAUUGAAAAUUACAGCACAAGUUCUAUUCAUGAAAAGUUGAAGUUCAACCCAGAUAGAAAAAUCAACAAUCAGAACCGUAGGCUCUGUUGCUAAAGAAUUGUGAAAAUAGUUCAAAUAAUGUGCUGAGAUGGUAAUGACAGAGCUCGACCAUUUAAAUUUAAUGCUAUCAAAAAAGAGAACUAAUCUUAACAACUAUGAAAAGAUAACCUCUUGCAAGCAUUUCAUAAUUGGAUUUGGAGAUGUAUAAAAUUAUAAAAGUCUCUAAAAUUUUGAAACUAAAAGUUGGAAACAAUCAAGUAGUUUAAAAAAUCACUCUGUAUCCUUUCUAUUUUUGACACAUCUAGACACAGGAAACGUAAACACAACUUGUAUCUAUGUAAUGAAGAUGAAGGAAGAAUGCAGGGGAAGGAAAAUAAGAAUACAAAUUUUUACCAGAAAUGAGCAGUGCCAUGAAAGGAAAUUGCAGUUCCCGUUCAACUAAUCUACAGAAUGAAGAAUAAUGUUUUAAUAAGAAGAGUAGAGUGUCCAACCAGAAAGUACAAACGAAAUCAAAUAUUCAUCCUCUAGUAAACACCAUCAAAUAGUUUCCUUUGAAAAAUCUUUCACAGAUUAACAAAUAUAAGCUGACCCAGAUGUAACUUGCAUUUUUAAUUUGUUAUACAUACCUAGCUACCAGAGCAUGAGCUUCCAUGUGAUGCACCCCAACAAUUGGUAGACUAGAGCUACCAGCAAUUUUUCGUGCCUUCUGCACUCCAACUGCAUUUCAAUUGCAUGGUGAAUGGGUCCGAAGGAUCUCCAAUUAAAAAUAAAUUUUCACUUGAAUAAUUAAAGAUAGAAAAAGAAGCCAAAUUGAUUGUGAACUUAUACGUAGUGUAGAGAACAGUGCGUCUUUCUAUAACUAAAAGCCUAAGAACAAUUUUCCUGUACACAUAAGCAUUAAAACAUAAAUCUAAACCUUUCUUUUUACAGAAAUCUACAGCUUAGGUGUCUGUUGAACAGUGACUGAUAACGAGAUAAAACAACGGCUUUCAAUUAGCGGAAAGAUGUCCACAUAGUAGACAGAGUACAACUUAGGACUUAAACCAUAAGGAGGGAUCCUGCAAAAUUACCACGGAGGCAGAGGCUCAAACCAGGGCCAAUGGUCACAGCAACUGCAGAUAAAUCCCUUUCUGUUAAGUUAGCCUUUUCCAUUGUUUCCUGCACCACCUGAAGUUGACAGACGAAAAAUAACCGAAGCCAAUGUAAGAGUGGAUGAAAAGGAUGCUGAAAUUGGAGUAUUUAGUAUACCUUGCAAUCAUAACCUUGUCAAUCACUUGUGCGUGCGCUUCUUCUGCCAUUUUAGGAGCAACGCCUCCAUAGCGAGCAAGCAGCUCUGCCUUGAUGUGGCAUUAUAAAUUUAGACCAAAAAGUUGAAUUCUUAACCAAAUUCUAAAAGCAACAAAAGUUCUUAAAAAUUACUUCUUUUUUUUUUUUUCCGGAAACAUUGGUAAUGAAUAGAUAACAAACACAAGGGGUAGUUACAGGCUUGAUUUUCAAAAACUGAAAACCAAAGAAGUUGGUUAUUACAUUUUUGUAAGUUGUAUAUUUAGUCUAACUUUCUGAACAGAUAUUAACCAACGCGUUUCAACACAAACUCGAACCUCGUCCCGCUGACUAACGUAUAAUGAAACCUAACAUUACAAAUGUGCAAGAAAUCCUGGGAAUAAAGAGAAAUUCAUUGGUUUUAGCUUAAAGACAAAAACCUGAGAAGCUAUAACUUGGCUAAGGAUUUCGCCAUUGCCCUUCACCUAAAAUCGUCAAUUAAAAAAAAAAAAAAAAACCAAAAUUAACAUCAACAAACAGUAAAAAAACACUCGCUCGAAAGCACGUGAAUUAAAAGCAAUGUGACUCGAGCUUACAAUGGCAGCGGCGGUAUCAUCGCAGCUCGUUUCAAUGCCGAGAACAAUCAAAUCAUCGUCUUGUGGCCUUGAAAUCUGAGUGUGAAAUCCAGCAGAGCUUGUGAUUUUCAAAGCAGAAAAUCGGGGAGUUGAAGCAUUAGAUGAGAGACCUGGUCCAAUCCAAUCGGUUCGUAAUAACUUGUGGAAGUGCAAAACUUUGAAGGUAGUAAGCGCGUAAGGAAGUGAAGGUUUUGGGAUAAGGUUUAAGCGGGAAAGUGUGGAAGAAAACGCCAUUCCCACGGAGCAGCAGCAGCGAUGCUGAAGGGCCUCAAUGGUGGAUGAAGACAUGUAUUCAAUUUCUAUUUUUAUGUUUUAUUUUUUAAUUUAUUUUAAUUAUAAAAUUUGGACAAAUCACAAAUAGUGAUGUCAUUUCUAAAAAUAAAAAUAUGAUGUUUCAAAUUAAAAUUGAAAAAAAAUAUAUUGUUUGAUGGAUUUUUAGUAUUUUGAUCCUGACUAUUAGAUUAAAUUAAAUAUUAUUAUUUAAACGAUAAACACUAAAAAUUGACUUAAUUUAGCUUAAAUGUUAUAUAAAAUUUUAAUACAACUUAUUGAGUUUAUAAGCUAUGUUUAUAGAUAAACAAAUCAAAACACAUAAAACUCACUUGAUAACUCGAGAAGGUUUUACUCAAAAACAAGUUUGUGGAUCAUAAAAUACUAUAGAACUUAUUUAAUUGUUUACAAAAAUUGUCGAAUCAAAUCCCGAACCCAACGUUCAAACGAAAUAAACUUCUUUAUCUUAUUCUUUGAUGUCUGUUUCUAUCUCAUUCAUCUUGCUUUAUUGACUUGAAUUUUUUUUCAUUAACAUCUCCUUCAAGUUUGUUUCCUUUAUUCCAAAUGCAUCAAAUAUGCAAUUUUCUUCUUUUGCUUUUCCCCUUUUGUCCUCCAUCUCUCACUUUUUGGACGAAGAAGCAUCUUGUUUGAGGGUGAACAUUACAAGAAGAUGUAUCAUACAAUUUCAACAAGUAUUUAAAUUGAGUUAUUUAAUGUUAAAAUUGAUCCAAGUAAAUCUUAAAUUUUGCUACGAGUAAAUCAAUUCAAUUGCUUAACUUACAUUUCAACCUAUCAAAAGAGAAGAGGUUGGAUUUCAAAUCACCAAAGUAGAGAAAAAAAUCUUUAAAUUUCGAAUAAAUCUAACAAACCAUAUUCCAUGCUAAAGUAUUGAACUUUCACCAAUGCGUAGGCGCGGGUAAAACGAACCGAACCAACUCCAAAUUUUUGCUGGAAGGAUCAUGACAAACAUGAAGCUUACUUCAAAUUUCAGGAGAAAGAUGCACAAAUUUUAGUCCACAGAGAACGAUGCCUUCGUUGCUUCCUUCUGCAAGGUUCUUCAACUUCUGGAACCCACCUGCCCCUCCCAUUUCCCUUUUUUCUCUUUCCCCUUCCUCUUCAACCACAGUCUCACUUCACAGUCACAGAAUCCUCUCAUUAUCCGCCAUGGCUAUGUCCUUCUCUUCUUCCACUUCCACUCCCAAAACCCACCUCGAACAAGACGAUCAAAACCUCUCACAAGUACUCAAAUACCACUCCCAAACCAAACAUGGCUUCUCCAACUACGCCAGAGGCCCCCAUGGCCUCGAUUGGGCCAAUCAGCCCAACCCCUUCCGCCGCUACAUCUCUGCUCCUCUUCUUCCUCUUUCCCAUUUCCCAAUUCUCAACCAAACCGCCGCAUCUGAUGAUGAAACCCAUGAAGCUUCUCUGUAUGAUUCUCUGUUCGUCUCGUUGCCUCCUCCAAAACCCGUCUGUAAAGCUACAAUUUCUCAAUUCUUCUAUGAUUCUUUGGCUCUUUCUGCUUGGAAAUCUACUGGGUUUUCGACAUGGUCGCUGAGAGUUAAUCCCAGUAGCGGGAAUUUGCAUCCAACUGAAGCGUAUUUGAUUGCUCCGCCUGUAACCUCGCUCUCGGAUUAUGGUUUUGUUGCGCAUUAUGCUCCUAAAGAGCACGCUUUGGAGAUUAGAACUCAAAUCCCACCUGGGUUUUUCUCUAAAUUCUUCCCUGAGAACAGUUUUCUUAUUGGGUUGUCGUCGAUUUUCUGGCGGGAAGCUUGGAAGUACGGCGAGCGAGCGUUUCGGUAUUGUAAUCAUGAUGUCGGUCACGCCAUUGCGGCGGUUGCCAUGGCUGCCGCAGGACUUGGGUGGGAUGUGAAGGUUCUUGAUGGACUGGGUUAUGCUGAUUUGAAGAAGCUCAUGGGGCUACACACUUUUCCUGAGUUUGAAAUUCCGUCGCAGCCGGUGAAGGGUUCGUUUCCGGUGAUUGAAUUCGAGCAUCCUGAUUGUGUGCUUGCUGUUUUCCCUUCUGGCACUGCUGACUUUUCCAUGAAUUAUGAGGAAUUAAGCUCUGCAGUAUUGAAAUUCAGUGAGUUAGACUGGAAAGGAAAGCCGAAUUUGCUCAGCAAACAGCACAUUUGCUGGGACAUAAUUUACAGAACGGCCAUGGCCGUUGAGAAGCCACUAACAGGGGAAAGUGGAUCUUUAGUUGAGCCAUUUCAGAGCAGUGGGGUUCUUGGUGAACGUCCAUACAAGGGCUUUACUUGGAGGGAAGUUGUGAGGAAGCGCAGGAGCGCAGUGGACAUGGAUGGUGUUACAACAAUGGCGAGAGAUACAUUUUAUCAGAUUCUACUCCAUUGUGUGCCUUCAGGUUCUAUAGAAGGGGAGAGGCAAAGGAGAGAAUUGGCACUGCCGUUUCGUGCACUUCCAUGGGACGCUGAAGUUCAUGCUGCUCUGUUCGUUCAUAGAGUGGUGGGCUUGCCACAGGGUUUGUACUUUUUGGUGAGAAACGAAGAUCAUUUCGAUGAGCUGAAGAAAGCAACCAAUCCAGAUUUCAAGUGGGUGAAACCUGAUGGUUGUCCCAGCAGUCUCCCUCUGUAUGAACUACGGAGAGGCAAUUAUCAGACACUUUCCAAGCGACUGUCAUGUCAUCAGGUUGGUUUAUCUUCAUUUCCAUUGCCUAUUUAGUGAAUGUUUUUGCCAGUUUUGUUGAGACGUAGUAUGCAUUCAACGUCUACCUGAACUAAACUUCUUACAAAAAUUGUCGAGCCAUGUUGAAAAAGCCCUGUUGGUUCCCUAAUAGGUUGUACCUGACAUACACAUAAAGAGAAACUAUCAAUUUCACAUGAGAUAAUACUCGUGUCUUGAGUCCACCGGUAGAUUUGCUAGAUAGAUAUCUGGACAAGCAACUAAUCAAAAUAAAUUUUCGAUAGUGGACAACCAAACUCAAUAAUAUCUGUACAACUUAAAUUAUGGGUACAGACUGUCACCUCACUAGCCGCAGCAAGCGGUUGCGCAACUGUUGAAUUUUCAUUCUAUGUUUCCUGCACCAUCCUAGUCUUAAACUCUUAAGUGGUCAUUCCAGUACCCUUCUGAAUAUUCUUUGCUAGUUAGGAAGUAUGCUUGCAGAUGUAGAUGGAAUAUUCCUGUCCAACCACCUAUUUAAUGAUGAGAUUCAAAAAAUUUAACCCAAGUAUGGAAUAUUGCAGCUGGAGACGUUAUUAGUUAUGGUAAUCUACGUUGCUUUUGCUACAGAAACCUGGUUUUUUCCUUCAUUUUGGAUAUUUCCACCUUCACAAUGUAACCAAAUUGUCGUCAUUUUGUAUGUUGCUUAUUUUAGCUGUCACAUUAUUUUGUUUGAAAAAUUCUUUGUCUAAGAACAUACACACCAGGUCAGUUACAAUGAACAUUAUUGUGGCACACUAAUGCAUCGAUAAACAAAUCAUUGUCAACUUAAUUUUGUCUUUAUAGUUUAGCUAGAUAUGAUCCUUUUCCAUACAGGACAUUGCCAGUGAUGGGUGUUUCAGCUUGGGAAUGAUUGCUCACUACGAGCCUACGUUACGUGAAAAAGGGGUUCACAUGUAUCCUCGACUCUUCUGGGAGACUGGAGUUAUUGGGCAGGUGUUGUACCUUGAAGCGCAUGCUGUCGAUAUAUCUGCAACUGGAAUUGGUUGCUUCUUUGAUGAUCCCGGUAAGAUAAAUGUUGUAAUUCUACUGACAUGCUGAAAUUUAUCAUUCUUGUACAUUUACGAAAUUGGAAACAUAUAUGCAUAGUACAGUAACAAGUAGUUCAAAUAUAAUAACAGAUUGAAGAGAUGGAGUAUGAUAACAGAUUGGAGGGAUCAGGAUAAGAUAAAUAAAGACACAUCUUUUCCUGAUUUUAUUUCUGUUGUUUAUCUUGACACGCCAUAUGCCAUGGAUUAGAGCCAAACUUGCGGUGGUUAAGGAUUCAUCAAUUGACAUGAAUUGCUAUACAUUGUUGUGACUGGAGGGUCCUUUCCUGCUUUACACUAUUCUAGCAUGCAAUUUGUGUAGGAAUACUAGUCCAGAAGGCAAAAACCAGUUGGUUGACACCCAAAAAGACAGUCAUAGAAUAGUAAUCAUAGACUAUGCUAUAAAGUAAGACUGAAAAAAGUGAGAUGGUGGGUUACAGCGUAAGUUGAGAAUAGGAAAAACAUGAAGCACAAGCACAAACAUUUAAUCCAAAGCUAAAAUGAUGGGGGGGAGGGGGCGCAUUUAGAUGAAGCUCCAAGAACUUGAACAGGCUCUAAGUCUUUCAGGCAUCAACUUGGCCGAGAGAAAUUUACUGCUUCCAUAGAUAAUAAUUUUAGUGAUAUCAAGUUAUUUAGACCCAUAGGCGAUGUACUAUGAUGAAUACCUUUCAAACUUCUGACAUCGUGUCUUGUGAAAAGUUGAUAAGUGUAUGUUAUGCACUCAUUCCUCAAUCCCUCCUCUAUUUUCUUUGUUUUGCAGUACAUGAAGCGCUUGGGUUGAAAGGAUCAAACUUCCAGAGUCUAUAUCAUUUCACUGUGGGAGGUCCUGUCUUGGACAAACGAAUAAUGAGCCUACCAGCGUAUCCUGGCCCCAACGUGGAUUCUUAGACUGCAAGGUUAUUCUCUAUCAUUGUAUAAUAUCUCAAGGCCUAGGCUUCCGUCCUCAUAAGCAGAGUCAUUUCACAAAAGGGAAAGCUAUUUGCUUCUUCCGAUAAUAAAAGCAAACUACUUCUGCAGAUAACUAAUAUUCCCCAUUAUUCUAGGUUAGGAUGAGGUGUAAAGAUUUAAAUAAUGGUCAAUCUAGAAAAUCACUUGAUCAGGAGCUGCUUCAUUCUACUGUAGAUUCUUGUCUUCCAUCGACAUGAGUGCCAUUGUUUCUGAUAAUGUAGAAACUUAUUUCACACACAAAUACACUCCUUAGAAGUUGGAUCAUAUGUGCUCUACUUUUCCUUCCAAGUAUAUAUCAAAUGUAUUUUAUUAUAAGAAACCUUUCACAAGUUGCCAUAUUUGAAGUCAUUCGUGCAUUUAUUCUAUAAGGAUCCGUUCAGUGUAGUUUUCAAAUAUUUUUUUAAUAACAAGCCUAUUCCUUAAUGAUAAAAGUUUUUAUAUAGGAGAGAACCAAGAAAUCUCCUUAAUUUACAAUGGAAAAAAAAAAUACAGAAAAAACUCCCCAGUUCACCACAAAACUCCUUGGAAAAGAUAUGGCAGGAGACUGCCAGAAAAAGAAUAAAGCCUGGCGGUGAGUUAAAAGCCAAAACCAUUGGUUCUUUUAUUAAUUCUUAAAGUAAUUGGUACAAGAAGGGAGUCUUACCUUUAAUCAUACUGGUUAGGUUGUAGGAUAAUGGGCUUAAGUUACACAAAUACUUCCAAGAGUAAGUAAUCUACCCUCCUCCUCCUCCUAACCAAUGACCUAACGAAUAUACAUUACUACGAUUCCCAUUAAUAUUCCUACGUCAGGGAGGGGAGCCAUAUCAAUGUACAUUUAGGUUGGCACUUAGGCUAUGUGUGGGUGGAAGGGCUUGGUCACAAAAAGGUUACUACCCUACCAACUAAUACUUAAAACUAAACAAAAUAAAACCAAGUUAAUUACAGUCAUACCUGGAAAUGAUCCUACAUCAAGAUCCCACCUGUCCACCUCUUUAUAAAUUCUAAAUUUGUCUGGGAAGCACUCCUCUAAAUUCCGUUUUGCCCAAACGGGAAAAUAAGGAAUGAGACAAGUUGCUCCGUUAAAGGAACUUUCGUUUAUCCACUGGGGCUCACUGAGCACUUUACUUUUCUUUAUAGCUUGUUCUGAUAAAUGUGUCAUUAGGAGAAUCCCACAUCUGAAGAGGAGAGUCCAAUCUAUUACCAUCUGAACCGCUGUAAUCAGACCAUCCCUUCAUGUAUGAUAAACAUGUGCAGUUGAUCGUUUCUUUUAAGAUGUUUCCUGCAUUACAUCUGAAGCCAGGACAACAUAGUGAUGGCUUAAGUUGUUGCUAUUUUUUUUGUAGUACAAAAUAGAGAACACAUAAACAGAUUUGAUAGGUACAUAAAUGUCAGUAGAAUGCUACUUCACUUCAUUGAAGAAUAAAAGUGAUUUGGUCUCCUGUCUGCAUAAUUAAAGACAAUUUUAAAUGUUCCGUUCUUGACCAUCAUGAAUAGUAAAGUACUACUGUUAUUGGUUAUAAAUUAUCAAUCCAUUGUAAGAUGCCUAUUCUGAGGUGAACUAUCCAAUAUGAAUUAAUAAUCCCACCAUAUAGAUUUUGAUUAGACUGCUUGGCUUCUUCUUCUUGGUUCUCAUUUAAUUUUAUUUUAUUUCACCCUAAUUGUGGUAUGUUUGUGACUUCUGAAGGCCUAGAAAGACUAGCAUGCUAAAAUUAAUUGUAGAUGUUUUUUCCCUCUCCCACGGAGAAUAAACUUCAAUGAUCUUAAGAGGCCAUCUUGAAUCAAGCUUUGAGAACUUUCAAAAAACACACUCCAACUUCUUUCAAGAUCGAAACCAAGCAUUCUACUGCCUGAGACAAGACAAAAUGGUUGAUGCAUUAUGUUAGUAAUGCAAGUACGUCCUUCUUUUCAAUAUAUUAAAUUUGUAUUGCCACUUUCUGAAUCUUUACUAUCUCCAUUAUUAUGAUGCAGUAACAUCAUUUUGAGUUUCAUAGAAACCCAAGUCAUUGGAGAAGGGGGAUGAAGAAUCCGGCCAAGCCAAGAAAUUAAAAAGGACACUCUUGAAGAGAGUGAUCACAAUAGUCUUCACAAAGAAUACACUCAAACGGUAAGAACGGAGUCAUCCCUAAAUAAUCUCUCAAUAUACUUCCUCCAAUGGAAAAUUUUCUGCCUGAGUGUCAAAAUUUCCAGGAAAAAAGGACAAAGACAGUACUAUUUCACAGAAUCCUAGCUCGAUUUUUAAAAUGCAAAACUCAGCUUGUAUUGUAAGUUGACUCUCAUCUCAUGAUUCAUAUAUUUUCUGUAUAGAUCUUUCCUACAUACUAGACAUUAUUUCUCUACUUAUGACUUAUAAUUCUCUUGAUGAUGGCACUCUUCAAAAUUCAUCAUUAUGUUUUCGCUUGUAUUCUACUGCAAGUUCUACUUUUCCAUCCGCCACAAGAAAGCUUCUUCGUGGGAUUUCGCUAAUUAUUACCAUUAAAAACUCAUAUUUCUCUACGGAUGGAGCAGAACAAUUAAUCAAAAUUCAACUAAGACGUAAGGUUCGGAAGUAAACGAAUUAAGAAAGAGAAAAUUUGGGCAACUCCCUAUACAUUUGGAGCAUUUGUUCUUGGAGUGUGUUCUUCUACUUCCGCCAUGGCGGGCGAUUCUUUCCUCCAGCCAACGCUGGCGGAGCUUCCAUUCUUCUUGGACUCCAUAUUCUCCAUAGUCCCAAAACCAAAAGAUUCUUUCUUAAUCGUUUACAUAACUUUUAGUGUUAGAAAUUCUAAAUUUAGCGGAUAAAUAAAUGUUGAAUAAAUAAAGAUGCAUUAAUUAAUGAUCAAAAUAAUUACUAUACGUAAUCCUAACUUUAAAGUAAAGUUCAAAUCUCUAAUUGUAUAUUAUACGAAUUUAGUCUAAAAUGUAACUCAAUUACAUCCUAUUUGUUCCAACUAAAUAAAAACUUUGAAUUUACUCUUCCAUUCUUCUAAAUUUUUUAAACACUAUUUUCAUCCACAAAUUUAGAUAUUUUAAUUUUAUUUAUAAAAAAAAACAUCAAUCCGAAAUCCGAUUCUAAAUAAACUUUGUAGUUGAAUACAACUGUUUCUUUUCGACCGCUUUACAUUAAUCUUCCUUUUGUGUCGUAAAUGGAUUUCUAACUUCAAGUAUGGUUAGGAGUUGGAUGAUUUUUUUUCGAUGUUAAUUCUAAACUUUUUUAGAUCUCAAAUAAACAUGUCACUAGCUUACUGAUUACUUAAAUUAUUUCAAAUCUUACUUUUGAAGGUUAGAAACAAAUACCAAUUUAAGAAAUGUUGAUGAUUCUGUUUUCUUUUAUAAAAUGUUAACUAUAUAUAUAUAUAUUAUAAUUGAAAUUCAAAAUGUCCAUGUGAUCUUAGAUGGGAAUAAUUUUCUUCCAUACAUAUUUUAUUUGUCUUCUCUGACAUUUCUAGUUAGACAUUGUAAAUAGAGAUGAGAUGUUAACAAAUAAAAUAUAAGAAAGCAUAUGGUAUUUUUUUAAUAAUAAUAAAAGGCAUGUGGUAAUAAUGAUGAAUAGUUUUGAAAAUGUAACCCAAAGGACUCUAUGGUAAAUAACAAAUAAUCAAAGUUUGUUUCAUGUAAAAUUCAACAUGUAAGGUACCAACUCAUGAAGGGAUCUCUCCUUUUUAGACCAACCAACAUGGGAGGUGAAUUUUUUUUUAAAUUAAAUAUCUAUGUUAAGCGUUUUACGCCUUUGAGUCCUAUGACGACGGUGGAAGAUCCAACUUUCAACCUCUAGAGAGGAAGAUCGUUCCAAUUAUGUAACAGUUCAUUUUCUUUGCAACAUGGGUAAUCUAUAUUUUUUCUUGUUUAAGCAAUUGUUACGAUUCCAAAUCUAUUUAUCUUUUAAAUUUUUACAAUAUUGGUAGUGAUAGGUAUCAACAAAUAAUUAUAAAUGUCCAACAUAGUCUAAUAUUACUAUUUAAAUCAAAUUUUCUUCGAAUAACAACAUUAAAUUAAUUUUUUGGACAUUUUCAAAUAUAAUGAAAUAAACUAAAAUAUUUAUAUAACAAAAUUUUGGAUUAUAUCAGUGAUAGACAUUGAUAAACUCACUGAUAAAAACAUAUUAAUGUUUAUUAGAAUAUAAAAUUUUGUUAUAUUUUAUAAAUAUUUUUUAAAAUUUGUCAUUUUUUACACUUUUUAAAGAAAAAUUAUAUCAGAUGACAAAAACAAUUAGAAAAAAACCGUUCAUAUACAUACAUUUUGCAUUAGACGACUAUUAAAUUUUAAAUUUACUAUUUUUCUAAUUUAAAAAAUGGAAUGACAUCGAUUUUAUUGUAAAAAAAAUAUUUAUUUUUUUUUCCAUUUUUGUAAGCUCCACGAAAAAUUGAUUAGUAAUUUAAAAAAGAAAAACUAAUUGUUUUGGGAUAUUAAAAAUUUGUGACGCGUUAUGAGUGGAAAGAGAAUUUUUAGAAGUUCUCGAAAAGAAGACAAAGCUAAAAGACGAAAAUAUCCUUCAUCGUUGCCUUUCUUUCUUUCCUUUUUCUUUACCAAGCGGAAGGGCACAAAAAGGGAGACCUUUCACCCUCCGCCUGCUUCCUCCUUUCAAUUCUUCACAUUUUCCUUAACUUUCCGGCGACUUUUCCGGCCACUCCAAACUCUGUAAGCCUUUUUUUCUUUACUCUCCACCUCUCGAAACUCUUCUGCCUCAUCGCUGCAUGGAGUUCCCCAUCUUCUAUUUUUACUUUGCUUUUCUUUGAUGUGUUUGAUUCAACUGUUAAGUUGAAUUCAUGAGUCUCUUGAGAUUUAGGGUUUUUCGAAGUCGUUUGAAAUGUUGAAUUUUGUUCUCUGUUCUUGUUCCUAUGUUCUGCAGGGCUAAUGAAUUAGUUAUAUAUUUGGUUUCCGAAAGAUUGGUGGUAAUGCUAAUUCUGGGUUAGUUUGUGUAAUGAUUGAUUGGGAACUGGAAAUUUUAGCUCAAAUGUCAAACUUCACAGUUUCAGGAAAUAUGCUUUGAGGUUUGUUUUACCCGUGGGAGAUAUCGUAUGUCAUAGGAGAUCUACACUAUUAUUCACUAGAUCAGUGAGAAUGUAUAUGCUACAAUUACAUUUUCUGAACUUCUACUUUGGAAAUGUAUGGAAAGAAGAGGCUUUGGGAGCUGAUUGCGGCACUGGGACAAUCAAGCAAUUGUGCUAACUUUUUCACCACAACCCAGUUUACUUUUCUCCUCUUGCAAAGGAAAUUUUGUGAAAUAGAUGAUCAAGCCAUUACACUAUUUGUCUGUUAAGAGUUUAUUUUGGGUCCUUGUCUGUACUAUUUAAUGGUCUAGUGAAUAUCUUGGGAACUGGUAUGAUUAAGCGAAUUGGGGUUAAUAUGGCAAGGAACCAACCUUGCAAACGUGAAUGUUUGCUAAUGUUGCUUCUUGUUGCUUUCAACCUUUUUCCUUGACAUGAUACAGAUCUCCGUUUCACCUCUGAUCAAAAGGCUUGAUUUAAGAUUGUCAUUAAUUGCUAUAUGACCAACUGAAUCGAUCGGUUUAUUAAGGAAUAUGCUCUAAUACUAUUUAUUCUGGAACUCACCAUAAAAUGCAUCCUGAUUCUCACAUAUGAAUCAGAAGAUUUUUCUUCCUCAUAAUGAUUUCUCUGCUUCUGUAUGUAGGUGGAAGCUUAUUGUGUUUGCCGGAGUACCCAAAUGAUGCCAAUUCUGUAGGUAGGUUGAUCAUGCCCUUCUUUUCUUUCCAAUAUUCAUGCAAGUUUCCUUAUUGUGUAAAAAGUUAAAUCAGCAGGUCGGAUGUGGCUGAGAAAGGUGCUUUAUGACUUUUACUAUUGGUCUCUAACAUUUCUAAAACUCCCAUGGUACAGUAGGCAUAUAAAGCGAUGGUUUACUGAUGUAGCAUUUUAUGAAACCUUAAUGUAUGAUUUAGCAUAUGCGUAGCACAUAAAAUGUAGGCUGCACUGUUUUUGAGACAUCUUCAAGAAGGGACAAAAUAUUUUUAUUUCUUGCUCGAAGUUCUUUCAUCACAGUGCGGAUACAAAAAAAAAAUUCAUCUACACCUCCAGGAAACACAAGUAUUCUUAUGUUCAUUCUAUCUGGACCUCCCUGUUAUUUCCCAGUAGAUGUCAUGUACACUGCUUUGGAGAUUGCAGGUGGAUGAUAUUGGUGCUCUAUUUGAAGGAAGUUUAUUGUAUUCCCAUUUUCAGAAGUAGCUAUGCUAUUGACUGAAGCAAAAGAUAACCAACUCCGUGAGAGCAAUAACCAGAAGGUUCACCCACAACCCAUGGAAGAGGCAAUGAACCAGAAACCCGAAGCUAUGGAAGCCCUUAUAUCAAAGCUUUUUGUCAACAUCUCUUCUCUUAAGUCUGCUUAUAUCCAGCUCCAAGGUGCUCAUACACCCUAUGAUCCUGAAAAAAUUCAAGCCGCAGACAAACUUGUAAUUUCUGAGCUGAAGAAACUAUCUGAGCUCAAACACUUUUAUCGAGAAAACAACCCCAAACCAGUAUGUGUUUCACCACAGGACUCACGGCUAGCUGCGGAGAUUCAAGAACAACAAAGCCUUCUGAAAACCUAUGAGGUUAUGGUCAAGAAAUUUCAGUCUGAAAUUCAGAACAAAGAUUCUGAGAUUCUUCAGUUGCAGCAGCAGAUUGAAGAGGCAAACCAGAAGAAAGUAAAACUCGAAAAGAACCUCAAGCUUCGAGGGCUAUCAAUGAAAGAAUCAGAAGGUUCUGCAGAUGAAAGCGGAAAUUUCCAUGUGGACUUGACCCCUGAUCUGUUUAUAUCAGUCGUGGAAGGCGCUUUUAAGGCCAUUCAUGAUUUUUCCAAGCCUUUGAUUAACAUGAUGAAAGCAGCUGGCUGGGACCUGGAUGCUGCUGCUAACUCAGUUGAACCGAACGUGGUCUAUGCAAAAAGAGCUCACAAGAAAUAUGCAUUUGAGUCCCACAUAUGCCAGAGAAUGUUUUGUGGCUUUCAGCAUGAAACUUUCUCAAUCAAAGUAGACGAUGUUGCACUCACAAAAGAGGAUUUCUUCCGGCAAUUUAUUUCAUUGAAGGACAUGGAUCCAUUAGACAUGCUAGGCCAAAACCCAGAUUCCAUUUUUGGUAAAUUUUGUAGAAGCAAAUACCUACUAGUGGUUCACCCAAAGAUGGAGGCCUCAUUCUUUGGAAAUUUAGAUCAGAGAAAUCAUGUGGCAGGUGGUGGACAUCCUAGAACCCCUUUCUACCAAGUUUUUCUUAAAUUGGCGAAGGCAAUCUGGCUCCUACACAGGUUGGCUUAUUCUUUUGAUCCAAGUGUAAAGGUAUUUCAGGUUAAAAGAGGGAACGAAUUCUCCGACGUAUAUAUGGAUAGCGUGGUAAAGAAUUUGAUUAUAGACGAAAGCGACCUGAAACCAAAAGUUGGCCUGAUGGUCAUGCCAGGUUUCCUGAUCGGAGGAACGAUAAUUCAGAGUCGAGUCUAUCUCUCAGGUGUCAAGGUGGCUGAAUAAACAAACAUGUCGAGCAAGUCGUGCAUCAAACUGAAAAGAAUUUAGGCCUUUAUGUAUUUGUUUAAUACAGAUUUUCUCUGUUUGUUGUAAUAUAUAGGGCUUCAAUUUUUCUGUUCUCUUGUUGUUGGGUUGUCUGGUGAAAAGAACUCUUAGUCAGCUUUGUCCCUCUCCCUCAAGGUUUCUACCUGCUUGUAUUAUGUAAUGUAUUCGUGCUAAAAAAAACAGAAAAAUUUAAAUUUACUAGGCUAUGUUCAAAAUAGCUUUGAAUUUUAUGUUUGGUUUCAAAUUUAUCAACAACGUUCCCAUAAAACAACAGAUUAGAACUUCCUAUAUUUUCUGGAUUUAGACAUAGUACGUGCAAUCCAUAGGAAAGACACAAUCGAAUAUAAAUAGAUAAAAGAUAAUAAGAGCAAAUAUUAAAAAUAUCCAAAUAGAAAAUUCCAAGUCUUCAUGAACAUGUAAUAUCAUGAUGAAAACUAACAAUAUUUACGAUAUUGAAUGUUAGCUAUGAGAAGAUAGAACACUUUUAAAGAAUAACAAUGUCCUUACAUUAAUUAUCAAAAUUAACAUAACUCAAAUACUUUUACACUAUUAACCUUAACAUCAAACCGAUGCCCUCAUCUCAAACGUAUUUCUGAAAGAAAAAAGCUUAAAUACUUUUUAAAGUAAUUGUAGAAUGUAAAGAACAACUUCCGUUGUAGUCUAGUUGGUUAGGAUACUCGGCUCUCACCCGAGAGACCCGGGUUCAAGUCCCGGCAACGGAAUUAUUUUUUUCCAUUUGAAAAAUAAAGAAGACGACGUCGUUUUCAAGCUGUAAAGAAAUAAAACCGUAUACGAAAAAUAAGUUUGAUUCUAAUUUAAAAUUUGAAUUUGUGGAUUUGAAAAUGCAAUAAUAUACUCAAAUUUGCAAUUUUUGAAAACAGAAUCUAAAAAGAAAAUAAAUCACGGACGAAGGGAGACUAUAUUUCCUAUCUAAUAUGGUGGGCAGCCAAAAUUUAUUGUUUAUGUCAAUAACCAUUUUUAAAAAGCUUUGUAUAUGUUACCUUACUACAAGUUUGAGAAAAAAAAUAAGAAAAUUAUUUUAAAUAAAAAAAACCUUUGAAAAUAUUUAAAAAUAUAGUCAAACAUUAUAAUCUAUAUCAUAAAUCACGAUAAUUGAAAUCUAUAUCAUAAAUCAUGAUAAUUGAGAUAGAGUAUUUGACUUAUCGUAGAUAAACGAUGAUAUUAUAUUAUAUUUUAUAAAUAUUUUAUUUCAUUUUACUGUAUUUAAAAGUGGUCUUAAAAUCUACCUUUUUAGUUUUCGAACUUUAAUAAAUAAGUACAUUCGAUUUUUAAAUAUUUAAAAUAUAUCUAGAUAGAGUUUAAAAAAAAGAUACAUUUAGUUCAAAAGUUACGAUUUUAAUCCAAAGUUUUUAAAAAUUAGCUAAAAGAAUUCUCUAAUUACGAACAAUAGUCCAUCAAAAUGCUUACAAAAUAUAACAAAAUUUUAUAUCUCAUUACUUUAACAUUGAUAAAUUAUAAUUUAAAAUUUUAGUAAAUUUGAAAAUAUUUAAACUUACACUAAUUUCUAUUUUAGAUUUCUCCUCUAAAAUUAUUUAUUUUGAAGACAAGGACCAAAUCCUCCCCCAUAAUAAGGUAGUUCUAAUUCUUCCUAAAUGUUUUUAUACAAAUCUUUGAACAAUUUUCAAACUCAUACUGAACAGAUUAUGAAUAAUUAAAAGCAUCUAUAUAUGUAGAUCUCAAAAGAAAAUAGAACUUCAGAAUCAAACAGUCAACAUUACAAACAAAGUUGAACUUCGAAGUUAGUGUGUGGUAUGUAGAAGAUAAUUGGGGGGUGGUGCUUGAUGGGCAUUAAAAUUAUCAACUUGACUUCAUCAUCCUCAACCGCAACCUCAACUCACUAAUAUAAAUUAAACACAAAUUAGUUCAAGAAUAUUACAUCGAUUUGGCAUUAUUGUGUUCUGUUUCCAAGCUUCUGAGAAAUGUGUGAAAUGAGAAUUUUAGUGUUUCUGAAUCUGAGGCCAAAAAUGGGGUGCUUCAAGAUUAUGAUUUUCUUGCAUUUGUUUCCUUUUUGAUUGUUGAUUGUAUCAGUUCAGCCAUGGAAAGACCUUAGGAGAUGUCGGAAGCCGAGCUGUGAGGACUUCAACUCCAGUUUCUGUUACCUGCAUGACACAAAAUUAGACAACAUUUUACAUUAGAGGUCCAAGCUAGAAAAAUAAAAGAUUGACAAAACUGACAAAACCAUGUCGGUUAGAAGUGUAUUUGUUGGUCAGUUUGGAAACUAGUCCGUUAGUUUAGUUUGAAUUGAUUCUAAUUGUUCUAGGCAACUUGAAAACGUUCUAACUGACCUACUGACACACUACACAUCACUUUACUGCCUAUUAGGUGGUGUUUUGGCCCACCAACUUCAUAAAUUGAUGUUAAAUAACUCAACUCCACCUCCAACCGUGUUCACUUUUGACGUUUACGUGCUUAUCAAAGAGAUGCAUCUAUCCCUCUUUCUCUCUUCCCACCUUGAAUAUUUCCUACCUCUAAGAUUAAACAACUCUCCACCCCAAACAUAAACUUUCUAACUCUAAACUUUAGAAUUCAACUCAACACUCAAACACCCCUUGAAAAAUGAAGAGAUUGAAAAAAAACGGUUCCUAAAGGUAUAGAACCUAACAAAGAUAGCCUUGUGGAUGUGCUUUACAACAAACAGUUCUCCAGUGUUUUCUCCGUGACCAUGCUAAUUUCCUUCAGAAAAUAAUGCGUACCAUGCUACUAAUUACACCAAGUCCGGGGGAUACAGUUAUUUCAAAAGAGGUUACAAAAACGCCUUCUAGUUAGGCAUGAGUUGUCAAAGUGAUGGGAUGUUCAUUAGUUGAUUUUAGCUAGACCAUUAGUUUCAAGAUAGCAAUAUUGGUAGGAUAGUGCAAGGGAUAUUCAUCGUUACCAAGAGGGUGUGUUCAAACUGAGCACUUCGUUUGCCAUCAGCAGUAACAGCAGUCCAUCCAUCAGGCCACAUCCGAUCACGCCAUACGCCUGGGCUUGAUAAAUUAUAAUUUAACGAGAAAAAGAGAGAUAACACGUGCAGGAAUCAAAGAUUGAGUAAACAUGUACCUGCGUUGAUCAUUGGUUCGAUGGUAAAGGUCUGCCCUGCUUUCAUCACACCAACUGCUUUGUUUCCUGUGGCCAGGACAUCAUCGAGAGUAAGAUUUGACAGAGGAUGAGCAAGAGGCAGAAACAUAUCAUUUCUAAUAUUUGUCGUUUCUCUCUAGAUUCCAAACUCAACAAUGAAAGAAGACGCUGGGGAACAGCCACAUUUUUCCCUUGGAAACAUAUACAUUGGGAGGGGGGAACCUACUUCACCUAAACUUACUUCCAUAAUGGGGAAUAUUAGGGGCACAAUGAAAGAGCUCUCCAAUGCCAUGCCCACAAUAUGACCUGACCUAAUUGUAUAUAGAGACAGAGAGAAAGUAAAACAAUUAUACAAAUAUUUAAUAAUCUAGUAGAACAAGAAGUGAUUAUGAUUUCUGUAGGAAACUGAAAUUAGACAUUACCACAGACAAGCCUGACAUUGAAGCAUGACGGUUAAUAACUUCUCCAACAUCACGGAAUCUGACUCCAGGUUUCACUGAUGAUGAUAGGAAACAAUCCAGAACAGAGAUUUUUGUUACAUAUCAAACAAUAUUGAUAAAUAAUAAUAAAACUAAAAUUAAGUCACAAAAGGAUUAUAAUAUUUAUAUCACAGCAACAUAAUGCAUUCAAACCUACUCUUAACAAUCCGACCUAAUUUUGACUUUUCUUAUGAUGGUGGAUAUUAGCUCAAAAGGAAGACCUAAGAAUGGAUACAAUCACACAAACUUUUAAGUAGGACCAACACAGGAAAAAGCAACAUAUUGCACAUUUGUUUCCAUAGAAGGCAAAAAAUAACUCUAUCUGUGAAUCAACAGAAUUCAGCAGAUUCUAAAACUUCGUGUAUUUUUUCAGCUCUAGAAAACUGUUGAACAGAUGGGUAAGAAAUUACAGUCCAGCUAUUAAAAUGUAAAUUUAUAGUCUAGAUUUUCAAUAAAAUAGAUGAAAGAGGAAAUACACAUACCCAUGGCUAUAGCUUUCUCCAAGCACUCAUAAGUACACUGGACUAAACGUCGGGACUCUUCAUCAACUUCUCCAACGAAAUAUGUCUCAUUGAGAUCACCUGCAUUUCAACUUUCAAGUCAGCAAUUAGCAGAAAAAAGCAGUUCUUAGGGUCAAUUAAAAUUGAUAAAUUACAUUUCUUACCAUGAUACCCUUUAUAGCACACGGUCACAUCCACAUUUACAAUAUCACCAUCCUCUAGUUUCCUGAAACAAUCAAAGCAAAUAUUCACAAAACGCUUACCUAAUCAAAUUAUCAACAUAUUUAAAAUUCAAUACAUGAAGACAGAUUCAGCAAUAGGAGAUGUAUUGCAACCACAUUAAUGAGAGAUUAAAACACAUACCGUGCAUCAGGAAUGCCAUGACAAAUCACUUCAUUAACAGAACUGCAAAGAGAAACAAACUGCAAUUUCAAAAAAUGCAUCUAAAAAUAAAAUUUAAGAAAAUUAUACAAAAAUUAGUGCAUACGUGCAGCAAGACUUGGGAAAGAAAUGAUAAUUGAGUGGAGAUGGAUAUCCACCUGAAACAAUAUAUGAAAAAAAAAAUUAGUAACCACGAUUCCCAGGCAAACGACUUUUUCCCCAUCUCUUUUGAAUUGUAAAUAACCUACUCUGGUAAAAAUAAAUCUCACAAUAAACUGGCACUUUGAAAUAUCAAAAUUUAAUAAAAGAAAAUAAGAGAGAAUUCAAAUGAAAGCAAAAGAGAAGAAACCAAAAUAAAUCCUUGACAAAAGAAGCAACAACACGACAAUCAUCCGUUUCCUGACCAGUGGAAAGGAAGAAAAUGGCUGCUCUCUCAUAUCAUGGAAACUCCUAAAGAUUAAUUAUUGAAUAGUUAGUUUCCAUGAAAAGAAUCAAAUCGAGGGUUGCAAGAAGCACCACUAUAAAUAGUGAUCAGUUGUUUUUUCAAGUAAUCAUGUUCCAUCAAUUCACACGAACCUCAACUAAAAAUUACAUGAAACAACCACCUAACCCAAAUUCAAAGGAAAUUUGGUGUAUUUUAGGGGCCACCAUAAUUAUGAACUUGGCUCUUUAAACAACUAGACCAACUAAUGGAAGUACUUGAUAAUAAUAAUUGCAGAGCAAACAUGUCUGUUGUUUCUAAUACCUGCAGCAAUCGUUGCGUCAUGAACCACACGGUCAAUUUCAUCAGUAGUUAUACCUGGCCGAAUCACUCUAGCAGCUGCAUCUAAAACUUCCCUUGAAAUCUGAAAAUUAAUUCAUUUAAUCACCAGCGAGAUUCUUAAAGCAUAAAUAUAAAAGUAUGAAUGAAAGAAACUUAGAUGUAUAAAUGUAAACAUAUGAAUGUUAGAAACUUAGCUUCAUCUGGAAUUUUUUAUAAAAUUUUGAAACAAGAUGCAUACUGACUAUAAAUAAAUGUCACCAGAUUGUUCAUAAAAAUAAACUGAUGUUAUGAAGCAAAGAGAAUCAACUUUGCAUUAGAAUUGAAGAGAAAUCAGACAUACCCUGCCAACCUCCCUCAUUUUUUCAAUCUGAUCGGGUGUUUUGAUCUUCAAAAGAGAAAAACAUAUGGUUAGUCAAGUAACUAAAAGUUUAGAAAAACUAGUAAUAGCUAAGAAACAGAAGCAUACCUCAACAACAUGUUGGAAGUCACUAUUUGGCUCAAUUUUUGGAAUUCCCUGAAAGUUUAGAGAAAAGGAGAGGUAAAUCAUUCACUACAAUCAUUGUGGAAAUUGAAACAGAAACAGCAUUUAUACAUGAUGGGUCACUCGAUAAAAGCUGGAUAAUAUAGCAGCAUAUCUACUUUUAAGUUUUAAGGACACAAAUCUCCAAGAUCUGCAACCAAUACUGUUACCCACAUCUCAACCCUCUUACCAAUCAAGGAAGAAUGGAUGAAGAACAACGAAAUUUGACAAAGAUUUUGUUAAUUAAGCUAUUACUAAUAUUAGUAGGUAAAAGGAUGUUCCUUUUCUGGAAGAAAAUAAAUGUAACAAUUGAAAUAUACAAAAAGUUAAGCCCAAAAUUAUAAUCCAGCAGUUAGAAAAAUACUGUUAAUUGGCUAAGAUCAUAGGAAUAGGAAAAUAACAAAGUCUUUUUGAACAAAAUUAAAGGUCCACUUGGACUAAAUGCACAGCAAAAAUUAUUCAAACUCACAUCAUCUGCCCAAUCUGGCCGAUCGAUGUGAGGAGGUACUUCGCACUUGCUUGAUAUGGGAUAUGGCCUCAGAGUCCUGCAAAAUAACAGAGGGCAUAAAUGCAUCCAAUGCUUCACACAAAAAAUAUUUCACAUGUUGAAUUUGAACUUGAUGUCUAAUUUGUUAAAGCUAUCUCAAAAUCUCUAGUAAAGGACACUGAACAGCAAUGGGAAAACAGACUCAGUGUCUUCUACUAUGAAGUUCUUUUAGGGUAGGGAACCUCCCACGAAUUUUAAGUCAAAGGUACAAACAAUUUACAGGAACAUAGUUUUUCAGAAGAAAGAUCAAUAAGAUGGGUUUCACCAUUAAAAUGCCAUAAAGUUUAGAUUUUCUUCAAAGCACCACAUGCUGGAUGCUAAUGGUCUCAUGAUACACAUUUACAAGUCAGCCAAGAGUUCUACUCUGUUACUGUAAAUUUUGCAACAAGAAAGAAAGAUACUAUAUAAGUAAACAAAGCCUAUUGAAAAAAAAAGGUAAGUUUUCUCUCUUUCCCCUCCCUCCUCUCUCCUCUCUCCUCCAGUAAACAAAGCCUAUUGUUUUUUUUAAAAUAAUAAUAAAUAGAUAAAUAAAAUAUUAUUGGCUAGCUUGCAAUGAGGAAAUCAGAUGGAGGAAUAUAAAAGGAAACCAAGAUACCCACUGGGCAUCACAAAAAAAUCUUAUCCAAUUAAAGAAAGGAUGACGUGAGUGGUCAACGAGGACAUGAUAGAUAGAAUGAAUACACAGGGGCAAGAUAAAAGCCUCGAUGCUUACCCUGUCCAAUCAAAAUGGGGUAGCUUUGGUGUUCUUGCCUGUCCUUUCUUCAAGCAAUAUAACCAACCUUCGUUUGCAAGAUCUGAAUUCUGUUCCCCAGAAUUACCAGUCCCUAUUGAGGACAGUUUUGCUUUUAAAUGUACUGCUUUGUGAGUGCUCCAAGAGGCCUUGAAACAAUCCUGAGAACUGUUGAGAUAGGAAACUUCAUAAAUAAAUCAACAUGAUUUCAACGCUUAACAAAUACUUUAUCCAAACCAUCAAAGAGCCAUCUAAUAUAGAUACAAUAUGAUGCAAAUUAAGUGAUUCUUCAUUUUCUACUAUUGAUAAAUCAGUAACCUUGGGUGUACUAAUUAAACACAAAGAAUCUUAACAUAUUAGAAAAUUUAGGUUUAAGUUUCAAUGUUAUACAAUUACAUGUCCAAGUUCUAAUGUAUGUCAAGAUAUAUGUCAGACUUCUAAUUAACAAGUUCUCAAACUCACAAGACGUAAGCAUAUAAGCUUCACUAAUAGUUUCUUCAACCCACUUCAUUCAUAUUACAUGCUAAUCAACAUAUUUUUAAGAAAAACCAAAGAAUAAAAGGUUGCAAUGCUUGAUUGAUCUAACUAAUAAGUAGUUGGCUGUGACCACAAACCAGAAAGCAGCAUUCUCACGAGGAAGCUUCAGAUCCAUACACUUUGGACACCUAAACACAAAGUAAGUUAAUCAGAAAGAAUGGUAUUAAUAAAAAGGUUAAAUAGUUACCAUAGAAUAUGUGGACUAAAAUUUUAAACACAAACAAGUCACACAGAGUAUCCCUGAACUCCCAACAAUUUUUCUACCUUUUAAAGAACAUAUAGUGUCUCUUAUGAUUUCAGGCAACUACUUAUAUCAUUGAAUUACUGUUGAAACACUAACCCUAAUGUACUUAUUGCUUUUUUUUAAAAGAAGACGAGCUUCUUUAUUAUUAAUAACUCAACGUACAAGAGAGCUAUACAAUGAGAAUAAUAGGGAAGCCAAGAAAUGGAGACAGAGAGAGAGGAUCAGUAGAUGCACCCGGACAAUGUACUUAUUGCUACCAUCACACUUCUCAUUUACACUUUGUUUAGACAGAAUAAUGAUCAAUCACCAGAUAAUCAGAACUUAUAAAUGAAAUGCCAUUUUUGCUUCAAAGUACUAUUAUAACCCAAAUGCUGUGCUGCCUUUCACCUGCACCUAUGCUCUACUGAUCAGCCGUCCUCCUAGUUCAACAUUGUUUGAAGCAACCUUUGGUUGGAAAUCCCUUCGAGGAGCUGUGAAAUAAUGCACUUACAUGCCUUUUCUAGUUCAACAUUCUCUUCUUUGUCUUCUUCUUUUGACAUUUAGAACCAUAGUCUAAUUGUUAAUCAAGAGUCUUAUUCCUUUUUUGGAUCAAAACAAAAGAGAUUAUGCCUCCUGCCUCUCACCUCCCGCCUCCCCAAGGCACAUCAUGUCAUAAAGUGAUAGGAAAAACAAUAUCACUUCAUCAUAUGUAUCUAACUCCAAUACACCACGAAUUGAAAUUUUAGCGCAAUAUUUUACUUUAACCACAACGUCUAGAGAAAUGUUGAUGGAAAAUAUUUAAAUUAACAUCAAUUCUAAUUGGAAUGCGGUUGAAAAUCAUUCUUAAUAUAUUUAUACAAGUGGCUACUGAUAGAUAUGAAUUUUCUAAAAUAAUUGUUACGUUUUGCAGUACUUUAUUUACUUUUUAUCAAAAUUCUUGUUAAAAUUCUGAGGCUACUGAUAGACAUGAAUUUUAUUUACUUACUUUAUUUAUUCAAGUGGCGAUUGAUAGACAUGAAUUUUCUAAAAUAAUUGUUACGUUUUGCAAUACUUUAUUUACUUUUUAUCAAAAUUCUUGUUAAAUUUCUGAGGCUCGAUCCCCUGUUUUUCAAGAGAACAAUGCACAAAACCGCUUUUAGCCUUUCAAACCAUUGAUUGGCACAGAUAUUCAAAAGAGUAUAAUUACCAAAAGAAGAGAAAAGAGAACACCAUAAAAAUCAUUAUUUCCUAAAGAAUAUCAUAAUCCACCCAAAUAUCAUGUAAAACGCUUCAAUAACUUUCCAAACAAAUUCUCAAUAUAGGGCUUUUAAAAACAUUGCUCAUUAGUUUUAAAAUCAAACAACUACCACCACCCAUUGGUUUUAAACUUCCAAAAUACAAAGCAACUAUAACUCGUUUUACAAAAAGAAUAAACUUCUGAAUAUCAUGCGGCAACUAUACAAGGGAGCUCUUAAAAUAGAAUGGCAAGAAUGGCCUACACGAUUCAACAUAUGCGCUAUCAAAAUCACAAGUCAAAAACACCUAAACCAUGACUUCCAGCUUCAUUCAUACCAAUCCGAGAUUCUGAUUUCGCCCAAGAAUCCCAAAUUAAAUUUUUUCAAAAAAAAAAACAACAACAACAAUAAACUUCCCAAGGCAAUAACAUUUUUCCAAGUCCACAAGCUCAAACUAAGCAGCUAAAAAUCCAUCAAAAACAAAAGAAACCCAAAAGGAACUCAAAUUCCAUCGACAUUCAAGAACCAAGAUGAACAUGGGAACUACGACGACAGCUGAAAAAGUUCAAAAGAAAAGAUAAAAAAAACACAUACUGAAGAUGGGAAGGUUUGCCGCAUCUGGCACAAGUUAAGGUAACAGUUUCGGCCGUAUCGGAACCACCGGCCAUUGAACCAGUAACGGAAACGAUCCUCCUCCGUCCUCUUCCGCCGCCGGCAAGAAAUAUGUAUCAAUAACUUUCAAUUAAUCGAACAGAGCGAUUGAAAAGUAUAGAGAAUGCCUUGAAAGAAAGGGAAAAAACAACUCAUAGACCCUGUUUUCGUGUGCUCAAGGCUAAAAUAUUUUGCUAUAAAGUUCUAAGAGUACCAUUUUAAUCAACAAGGCGCCUGUAGCUCAGUGGAUAGAGCGUCUGUUUCCUAAGCAGAAAGUCGUAGGUUCGACCCCUACCUGGCGCGUUUUUUCUUUUUCCCUCCAUUUUGUUUUAUUCUUUUUUUUUCCCUCCAUUUUGUUUUAUUCUUUUUUUUUCCCUCCAUUUUGUUUUAUUCUUUUUUUUUUCCUUCAUAUUGUUUAUGUUAUAUUUUUUUCCUUCAUAUUGUUUAUGUUAUAUUUUCUUCCUUCAUAUUGUUUAUGUUAUAUUUUCUUCCUUCAUACUGUUUAUGUUAUAUUUUUUUCCUUCAUAUUGUUUAUGUUAUAUUUUUUUCCUUCAUAUUGUUUAUAUUAUAAAAAGAACUAUCCAACAACAAAACGCUAGAAUGGAAGGUUUUGAUAUAACUAAUGUAGCACUGCCAACCCAAUUUGUAAAUGAAUUGAUGACUUGUAACUCGUCCAAGUUUCUAUUUAGAAUUUUUAUAUUUUAUAAACUAUUUUUUUAGUACAAUUUUGUAUAUUUUAUAAAUCAUUUUAAUUUCUUUUUGCUAUUUAAAUUUAAAAUGUAACAAAAAAGACAAUUAAAUACUUUAUUAAAAUUUUAUAUGACCUUAAAAAUCAAACUCCCGCCUCGAAAGGAACGCCGGUAGCCGGAAUCCAAUCGCCGCCGUGAAGAAACUCAGCCACCGUGAAAGGCCGCGCUUCCUCCGCGGAACGGAGGAUGUGAAAUCCCGGCCAAUUUACCCUAAAUCUCGUCGAAGAACCGUCGCCCCUGUUCUUAAACUCUGCAUAAAACAGAGUCGAAAUCGCAAAAUCCCCUGUCCAUUCUCCCCACCCUUUCGGAUCAAUCAACCCGUCCAGAUCCGUCGCAAUUACCACCGUUCUCGAAAACCGCUUCCAGGGCCGCCCGAGGUACGUCCUGUACUGAGCCUUUACGGGGGAAAAUUCCGGUGCCGGCUGGACUCUGGAGUUGAGGAUCGAAAAUCCGGUGGCCUCUGCCGGAUCGUCGCGGCCUUGGGCAGUGAUCAUGUUGGCUUGGUGAAGAAUCGGCUGUCGGACGAAGAUUUCGCAGUUCUGGAGGACGGCGGCCGAGUUGCCAAAGAUGAAGUCGAUGGUGCCAUAGAUUUUGCAGUCGCGGUAGAAUUGGCGAAGGGAGUGGAGGAAGAGGGUGUCUUGAUAGCCUUUUAUUGCGCACCGGUAUACGACGGCAAGGUCGGAAUUGAGCCGUAGCGCCACCGCUUGUUGCUUUCCCGGUCCGGCGGUGUUCUCGAAUGUUAUGUCCCUCACCCAAAACCCGUCGCCGGAAACGCCUGCUCAGAUACGGCAAUUCUAUCGAACAUUUUAUAUUUCAAAAGCAAAAGAAAAAUGAAAAUUUUACGCAUUUGUAUUUUGUAAGGAUAUUUGUAGUUAAGGCUCACCGAAUGUAGCUGAGUUAUAAGUGGUGGCGCCGUCGGGUACAUUGCGGCUACCAGUGACGAUGGUUUUGUCUAUGCCGUCGCCGACAAGCAUGACGUUCUUCAACUGUAUUCCAAUUUCCACAUUCUCCCUGUAAACUCCAGCUUUCACGUAUAUCACAAUUCUCCCUCCUCGCCGUGUCCGUCCACUUCUCGCCAGAGCCGCCACCGCCCUGUUUAUGGUUCUGUGGGUGCCGGAUCCAUCCUUCGCCACCACAUAGUUCGCCUUCGACGUCGCCGGAUUCCACGUUGCCAAGUUGGUUCCUCUGUUUUCCCUCCAUUUCCGUUUCCCCAAUCUUUUCCGUCCUGAAUUCAAAUUUUCAUUUCUAUUCGUGACAUGAAGGUCUUUUGUGUCUUUUACUUUAUUUUUCCCUUUAUUUCUUCUAUUUUGGUGUUCACUUUUUUAAUGUUAUUAUUAUUUUUUUUUCCAUUUUGAAUAAUAUGUACUCACCAAAUCAAAUAUAAAAAAACAAUCUUAAUUUUGUUAUAUAGUAUUUUGUUACGAACCAAAAAGUAUAAACUAAAUUUUUGCUUCAAUGAAAUUUUAGGAUUUUCUAACCAUUAAAUAUACACAUACAUGAAACCAUUAACUUAUAACAAAAACAAACAAGUUGGAAUAUGGAAUGGUACUGAUUGCAACGUGUGGGUAGCAAGUGCUCACCGUUCCGCUUCUCCACGGCAGCAAUCUUAUCGUAUAAAUGCAGAGCUCCAGUGAGCAUCACCGUCAAGUUAUUCCCAUCCACCGCCGCCACAUCGUGGACCUCUUCCAACCCAUCCAAACAACUCCGAUGGUUAGCCAUGGCGGCGCUGACCCACAUCCGACCAUCUUCCGCCCUAUACUUAUUCUCUCCAACCAACAUCCCCGCGAGCCGCCACUCGGCCUCCUCAUAGAGCGUAGCGCAAUCACGAAGCGCGGCCUGCAGAUUCCAAUCUCCAAACUGACGUCGUUUUAAAUUACCAAUUUCGGUUAUGGCUUCCCUAACCCCGGUCUGCGCCAACCGAACCGAGUCCAGCGCAGGCAACGAAAAAUUAGAAGAAGCCACAAAGGGUAGGAAGAGGAGAAGGAGAAAUGUAGUGAAGGGGAAGGGCAUUUUGGUCAUUUAGAUAAUGGGAAAUAAGAGAAGUUUUGUAACUUAAAUUGAUUGAUAAAUGUAAUCAUAAAUAAAUAGGUGGGUGUGGAGAGAGAUAAGGUGGGUGUGGAGAGAGAUAAGGUGGGUGUGGAGAAACACCUGGAAUGUGGGUGUGACCAAGUGUCAGUGGGUGGGAAGAGAUUUUUUCUUUUUUGUUAACAUGUAUAUAAUGUAUGUAAACUCUUCAUGCAUUUCCAUGUUACAAAGUCACACCCUAAGUCAAUAGUAAUUUUAUUUUAUUUUAUGAAGGUUGAAUUGACCAUUAUGUAUGAUAUGUGAGUAUAGUGGUGCCUUUUUCUUCAAUGUUAAAAGAAAGUUUUGAUAAAGUAUUUUCAAACCAUGGGCUUUGAACCAUUUCAACUUACAAUAACUAAAAUAAUCUUCAAAUUCUUAGGAGACCCGUAGUUGAGAUAUAUCUUUAAGAGUUUAAUCUUUGGAUGUUCAUAACUUCCAUAUCGAGGAUUUUCCAUCGUUGUUUUCAUCUUAAUCUCUCAACAAAAGCCUUAUUUGGAUCUGGGCCUAGGUGUCAUUUCGAUCCAUAAAAUAGACUCGAACUGAUCAAAAACUAGGCUUGGACCCUGGCCUUCCUUAUUUGGGCUUGGACCCUCUUGGUUAAAAGUAAUUAUUUUUCAAUUUUAGAUGUUUUAAAUAUUAAGAAAAUGAAAAAAAAAAAAUGAUGUUUGAGGCGUUCCUUUUCUUCUAUGGAAAGUGAUGUUAUUAUUUUCAUUUUUUAAAGUUCAUGGGUAGAGAGAUUUAAAUUCAUUAAAUUUAUUUAUUUAUAUAGAUGUUAUAGAUGUGAGUUGAACUAAGCUCUUGUUGAUAUUUAUUUAUUUAUAUAGAUGUCAGUUGAACUAAACUCUUGUUGAUAGUGAUGUUAGUUAAUUAAAAGGGAAAUUGCAAUUGAGGACCAUUUUAUGAAUAAUAAUUUAGGGUAUAGCAACAUUUUAAAAAAAUUGCAAACAUAACAUAACUAUCACUGAUAGACUUCGUAUGGUUUAUCACUGAUAAACUUCGUAUGGUUUAUCACUGAUAGACUUCGUAUGGUCUAUCACUGAUAGACUAAUAUUUGCAACAUGGUAUAUCGAUGAUAGAAUUUGACAUUUUUUGCUAUAUUUGCAAAUUUGUUAAAAUGUUGUUGUGUACUUAAUUAUUUUGAAUCUAAUUGCUAAAUUUGCAACUAUCUUUUAACUAUAAAAAUUGAUGAUAAAAUCCUUUUUAAUAUAAACAACUUCACCCAAAACACUUAUUACUUAAAACAUUUGAAAACAAAACACUCAAAACAUACAAUGAAGAAAAAAGCAUGAAAAUGUGAAAAGAAACAACUAUGGAAAAAGUGAUUUAAGAAAGUACAAGAGAAAGCAUUUGGUUUGAAAGAAACCAUCUUUCAAUUCUCACACACAUAGUUUCAAAUAUAACAAAUGAAUCAAAGAGUAAAAGAAAAAAAGACAAAAACAAGAAUGUAGAAAUAGGAUUUGAUUGUGUGCAUUUACAGUAGCGUGUUACUGUUACAACAAACACAUAAAUGCGCCACGUGCUAAUUGUAGGUCAAAGUCAAAGUUUUGGACGGUUGUUGAUCUACCACCAUCCCCGUCGGUGAAAAUCCAUCGGUUUUGGCCCUAAAACUGCAAUGCCGUGUUAGGAGGUACCUUAAUAAGCCAUGUGGAUAAGGACGAUGACGGUACUUUCAUUCUCUUUAUUUUUAUUUUCUCAAAAAUAUGGUAAACAAUAAACAAAAUAAUUAUGAAAUAGAAAAAGUGUAUUAAAUGAUAGUAAAAUUUAGAAAACAAAUACAUCAUAAUUUUUUUUUCAUAUUACAAAUUUGACAAAUACGACGAUAAUUAUAUUAGAUGGUUCUUUUAUUAAAUUUACUAUUUCUAUAAAUUUAUUUAAAAAUAUAAGUGACAUGAAAUAUAUUCACAAUUUUCUUUUCUACUUUUGUCAUCUCUCUUACAAAAUAAAGUAAAAAUUACCUGAUAUGCUUAUUAAUGACAUUGAUAGACAGUAUUAGAAGUUUAUCAAUAUUUAUUAUUGCUAUACUCUAAAAAUUUGCUAUAUUUUAUAAAUAUAUUGGUUUAUUUUUUCUACAGUUAAAAUAUUAUAUUUUUAUCGUUAUUUAUAAUAAAUAAAUAAUUUUUUAUUUUUAAUUAUAAAUUUUAUCCAUAAAUGUUAAUAUUUGGGACAAUUAUUAUACUUAGAUAAUAAAUAACUUGGUUAAAUUGAUUUCAUCAUUAAUAGUAUUGUUUUUAAAAUUUUUAUUGGGGAUUAUUGCUUGAAUUUUGUAAAUAAAUUAUUUUAAACGUUUAAUUUUUUAAAAAUAUUUAUAAAUAUAGCAAAAUAUUAUUAUCUAUUUGUGAUAUAUAAAUCACCAUAAUUUGUCGUUUUUGCUAAAAAAAAUAGUUAAAAUUAUUUGAUAUUAAAGUUUGAAGUAUUUGUAUUAUUAGUCAAAGAAAAAAGAAAACUACAUUUUAAGAGUAAGUAUGAAAUAAAUAGGAUUGAAAUUUGGAGUAGAAACAAAGAGACUAAUGAAUGAUGAAAGGAGAUGACACAUCAUGCCUUCUAAAACUAUCUUACUUCGGAUUUGACAUUUGAAAAUUGAAAGAAAAAUUAAAUAAAAUGUAAACCCUAAACCCCCCACCAUGCAAUAUGAAUAUAAUAAUUUCAAUUGAGCAAAGGAUAAAAUCAUAUAAAUAAAUAGAGAUAACAAAAUUAUUUUUUCUUUCACGAAAAAUCCACCGCUAUAUUUAUUGCGUAUGAAAGUUUGUAUACCAUUAUUUUGCUUGUGUAGUAAUCAUUUGUCCUUAUGGACAUAUAUGGAGAGUAAAAUAAAUUAAAACUAUUUAUAAAAUAUAACCAAAAAAAAUCUUAUUUUUAUUUAUUUUUAAAUAAUUUAAAUUAAAAAACAUCAAAUUUUAUAAAAUAUUUACAACAAAUAAUAAAUUCUAUUAGUGAUAGUCAUUAAUAUAUUAAAUGAUAAAAGACUAUCAAUGAUAAAAUCAAAAAUUUUACUAUAACUUAUAAAUGUUUUAAUUAUUUUGCUAUUUUUAAAAAUGUUUCGAAAAACUUUUUUUUUAAAUCUAUUUGGUUCAUGAACUUUUAAAAAUGAUAUUUCUAAUCUUCACGUUUAUAAUGAUAGACUCAUUUGAUACUCGAGUUUUAAACUAUAAGUUUAUAAGGUCUUGAUAGUAUAUGUUUGAUUUUUAAAAAGUAAUUAUAUGAUAUUUAUAAUUUUAAAAAUAGUUUUAGAGAAUAUAUAACUUUUUAAAAUAAAAAUAUAAAAUUAUUUGAGAGACCUUUUAAACCUGUUUUUAGAAGCUCAAACACAAAAAUAAUGUAUAUUCUAAAAGCUUGAAACCAAAUAAGUCUAUUUUUAUAAACAUGUAGAGACUUAUAAACAUGUAGACUAAAAAAGUUAAUUUUUAAACUCAGUGACCAAACACACGUAUUCACCAAAACCUUGAGACUAAAAAACCAAAUUUCCUUAUUUUGAACAAUAAAACGUUUGAAAAUUAUUUUAAAUAUAGCAAAAUAUCACCAUCUAUUAGUGUUAAAUCAAAAUAGAUUACGUGUCUGUCAUAAUAUACAUAGUAAUUUAUUUUUGUCUGUAUAUUGUGACUUAUUGUAGAUAAACGUUGAUAUAUUGCUAUAUUUUAUAAAUAUUUUGAUUUAGUUUUCUAUAUUUAAAAAAAGUUAUGGUUGUAAAACCCAAAAUUGUUCCAAUCAUAAUCAAAAGUUAGGCAUCAAAGUUAGAUACUAAUCCUACUUUGAAUAAUCUAAAAAUUAGGACAAUGGAAAUGCAUGAUAUUAGUCCAAUUGACCAUUUGAAAUUAUAGGAUAUAAUUUGACCUACUAAGCUAAGUACACCAACAAAAGUUAGACUAAUCUUCUCUAUUCUUUUAAAAGGUUAGAAAGUAUUAAAAUUAGAUUAACUCAACGUUAGGAACAAUAUCACGUAUCUUUUAUUACAAUAAUAUAUUGUUGGACUAAAAGAAGUAUAAUCAGAAAGUAAUCAUUUUUUGUCGAUUGUACUCCUAAAUUGUGAGUUGUAUAAAUUAAACUUUCAAACCAAUUGUUGUAUAAAAUUAAAAUCUUAGUCUUUUUUUGUAUCGUUUUACACGCUCGUUCAUACUUCAUAUAGAAAAGAAGUAGGUAUGAAAUUCAUACUUAUCUCAAUUGAAUUCACAUGUUGUCUUACUUGAAUCCUCUUGCACAAUUUAUUAAGAUCGUCUUUUUUAAAACAAUUCAAUGCAUCAAUUGUUAUACAUUGAUAAACUCAUUCAAACUUCAUAUCGACAAAUAACUAAAAUGGAUGUAUUGAUAGUUCUAAAAAGGAACCACAAUUAAUCGAGAGUUGGAUUUAAAUUGAUUUGUUUAUGAAGAUUUAAUGUUUUAAUUAAUACUAAAAUUAAGGUUUUCGUUUAUAAAAAAAUAUAAAAAUUAACAAACUAUUUAUACCUGAUACAAAUUACACUUGAUUUUUAUACAAAUAUAACAUACAAGAGAGUGUACACUCUUUCAAAAAUUCACUUUUUUUUAAUACAACUUUGAAAACGAUCAAAUCUCUCAUCUUUAUAAUAAAAUAUUAUAUAAAUUAAAAUCAAAUUAGCUAAACUUACUCUAACAAAAGUUUAGAUAGUUCGUCAUUUAAUUUAAACGAAAAAAAAGUUAUAAGGUAUAAAUUGAUAUUCGUUUCCUAAACUUUAUCGAUAUUAUUGAAGUUUUUUAGUUGGCUGUGAAUUUGCGUUACGACAAUUAGGCGGUGUCGUUCCAGAAAUACAAGUCAAAGAAAACGAAGAACAUUGCGAAAAUUAGUUGUGACGUAACAGUGCCAACGACAAGUCGUAAAGUUAGUAUGGUUAGGCUGGAGGGUAAAAAAGUACUUUAGAACGGCCCCACGCAUAAAGGCAAAAAGCCCCAAGAAAUUAUUAUUAUUAUCAUUAUUAUUACUUUUAAAUUUCCAGACAAUUAGCAAUUUUCAGUAUUUAUUUAUUUUCAAAGAAUUUUGAGUAUUUAUUACAAAUAAAUUACAUUUUUAAGUGCUUUCUUUAAUACCAGUAUUUAUAAUUUAUUUUUCAAACUUUAUGGUUUAAAAUAUAUUUUUUUUAUUUUAGCAAAGACCACCUAUAUAUUUAUGUUUCUUUCUAAUAUAUAUACGAAGAAAAAUAAUUAAAUGAAUGAACAAUAAACAGUUUUUUAAUUGAUAUUUUGAUUUUUUAAAAAAUAACAAAUUAAAGCUUACAGUUGGAAGUAUUAAUGUGUCAAGUUAAACCUUAAACUAAAAGUUAUAUCAAAUUAACUCUAAACUUUUAUAAGUGUAUCAAUCUAAACCUUUAAGUUUCAUAACAUUUGAUCGAUUUAAAUCGUUCAAUUAUAAAAGAUAACACGAAAAAUUAUAAGAAUAAACAAAAAGAAAAAUAAUUGUUUUAGUAUUAAAUCUUAUAUAAAAAGUAGAUAAAUAUGUUAAUUAAUUGGUCGUUAAUGAAAGCCUAACUAAUUUGAGUUUAAAAGGAUAUAACUAUAUGAAAUAUAAUUAUUAAACAUAGUGAAUAAGGUUUAUAUUUUUCAAAUCAAACGAAGGGAUAAGAAGUGUUAUUAAAUGAUAUUGAAGCCUUUGAUAAAGUGGUAGACAACCUAAAGUCACAUGUUAUUUAAGAUAGAGACUAACUAACUAUAUAUGUUUCCACAUAUAAAUAUCAUUCAUUUAACAAUAAUUCAUAUUAAUUAUUCCUUAAAUAUACAUCACUCAUAUCACUUAUCAAAGAUGUGACUAUUUCAUUUUAUCUCGUUUAAUCCCAUUAUCUUUCAGUCAAAACGAAUUUGAUGCCUAUUAGAAUCAGUAUGAUAUGACAUAUAUAAUAGUCAUCUAACACGAGGUUGCAUGACAUAAUAUAAUAUCGUCACAGGGAUUGAAAGAUAGCGACAUUCGUUUACGCAUUUGGUUUUUGCUAAACAAAAUAAGAAGGGAAAAAAAGUGACAAUUUAAACUAUCACAUUAUUUUAGUUUAUGUACUUUAGGUUAUGUUAUUCUAUUUGUUGUCGUUUUUGUACAUUCUGUUUAAUAAUAGUCAACAUAUUGAAUUAAUCUUCAUUUAGUCACUUAAAAUUAAUUUUUAUAAACAAAAGAUCGGUUAAGUGAUAAUAACAAUCAUUUUUAUGUAAUAAAAUACCGUAUGUGUGAGAAUACGUCGUAUUCACAAUUUAUAUCAAUAAUGUUAAUGGUAUCAAAACCAUAAUUAAAAGUUCGAAAGUAAAAGGAAUGAUAUGGAACGAAAUUCUAACCUAAAUCGUACGACCAAAUUUUUAUUUUUAGAUCAUGAUGCAAUACAUUUUUUUCGAUAUAUAAUUAGUUUGGUUUUUUACUACAAUAAAAAAUGGAAGAUGCAAAUAGAUGUUAUAUGUUAGCUUAGCUAAAUUUAUAAACCAAGCAAUUUGAAUAAAGUAAAAGUACAAAAGAAAAAAAAAUUUGAAUAAACUAAAAUUUAGUUUGAAGCAUAAAUAAUUUAAAAUAUUUGUAUUUCAUAAAUUUCACAUUAAAAAAUAGAAUUUAAAAACAUAUAUUUUUACUUCUUAAUUAACUUUUCAAUCACAUUUUCUCAAAAUAAAACAUAAUCAAAUUUGAAUGUUUCACUAUCAAUCAAUUAUAAAUAAAUAAAAAUACUAAUGGCAAUAAAUUUAUGAUGAGAAAUGUGAGAGAAUUAAUAGACUAUAAUAUAUAUCCCAUCUAUAAAAGAGACAUCCACAAUCAGAUUUCUUAUUUAGAAUUGAUUGACAAACACACUACAAAAAAGAGAUGUGUAUAUAUAAUUUCCAUCAACUUUUACAAAUACUUCAUUACCAUUUAAAUAUCAAUUGGACCACAGCUUGUCCAACUUUCACAAUUUGCGUUCAUGUUCUAAAAAAUAGGUAGAAUAUUCUAACACAGUCGAAAUGAUCAUUCUCUAUUCGUAAAUCAAACUAUGUCAAUAAAAAUGCAUAACACAACUACACGAGUAAACAACUAUCAAUUUAUAAAUUACAAUUUAAACAUGGCUUAAAACAAAAGUGGAUAAAAGAUAAGGAGGAGACAAAUAACAUAUGGUUUGGUAUUAUGUAAUUUUCAUUGAUUUUUUUUGUUUAAUUUUUCUAAAAAAUGGUCCAUUGUAUAUAGCAACUUUAAUUUUUAUCAAGUAGGCUUGAAUAAUUGUGUGCUAUAUAUAUAAAUCAAAUAAUUAAUGAGCUAACUACAUCUUUAGAGAUCACAUGUAUUAGUUUAUCCUAAUUCACACCGUUGAAAUCCAUUAAUUAAUAUGUCAUGUGGGUGUGUUUCUCUCUAUUUUAUUUUAAUUAAUAAAUAAACAUGUAAACUAAAUUAAUUUUAAUACCUAUUUUUCUUCUUCUUUUUCUUAUAAAUGGGUCCAUUUCUAUAGUAAAAAUCAUGUGUAUAUUUGUAAUAAUGGAUUUUUUAUAUUUAAACUUCUUUUUAUAGUCACACACAUAUUUUUAAUUACAUAUAUUUAAAUAUUGUACUUAAAAUAGGGAUGAUUUUACUUUCUUGUUUAUUCUUUUUAUAGUCACACACAUAUUUCAAACGAGUUGGUCUGUCUUCAUUGUAAAUUUUCUUUCUAAUAAAUAUGGUCUCCAACGGUGUGCACUGCAAAAUCCACAACAAUCAGUUCUCUCUCAUACAUAGAUCUUUGCUCAAUCUCUAGCACAUAGAGUUUUACUAAAGUAAGCUAUGGUCUUUUUGUUUGAAUUAAAAUAACGAUUUUGGUUCUUAUACUUUGAGGUUUUUUCAAUUUUAUUUCACAAACUUAUGUAGUUGUUGAAUUUUAUUUUUGGCACUUUCAAUAAAUCUUAAAUUUGGUUUCAACAAUUUUUAAAAUCGUUAUUUCUAAUUUUAAUAUAUUUACUAAAAUUUUUAAAAACACAUACAUAUAUUUGUUUAUUAUUUACUAUUUAACAAAUAUCGGUGGAAAUUUACUUUUAUAGGCUAAAAUUGUAAGCUUCUAAAAUAAUAACAAAUUAAGUUUGUUAUGAUAUAUUGAAAUUUGUAAGGUUUUAAGUAGAUUGAUAAUUUAAUAUAUAAAUCCAACAUUUAGAUCAAUACAUCAAAUUAUUUAUAUUUAAUAAAUUAGUCAAACUAAUUAGGACGUUAGUUUUAUUUAAUGAAGAUUAAUUUGAAUUUGAAUUUAAAAAUUUGUUGGUUGUUGGAGAGAGUCAAAUUGUUUUGCAAGAAGAAAGACGAAAGCUCUUUGAAUUUGUUUGUGUUUAGGUGUUGAAUAUAUUCCCUCAUCGUAUUUUCUUAAUUAUUACACUAAUUUUCUUUGCCAAAACCCAAUAUAAAAAUUCAAUCUCCAAUUUCAUCAUCUUUCAAUUCUGUUUAGUUGGGGAAGUCAAGUAAUAAUUAUAAUUUCUUUGACUUUUAACAAAUAAGGAAAAUAUAAUAAUUGAAAAUAAAAAUAGUAUUCCAAAUCAAUUUAUUUAGAUAUAUAUGAUCUUUAGAUAUAUAUAUAUAUCAAACUCAUAUAAUGAUAACAGAUAAACACUUUUUAAAAUUGAAAGCUAGGAUGUGAAAUUUAAGCUCGUUGUUAAUUAGGGUAUCAUUUAUGUAACUAUAAAGCGUUUUGAUUAAUCAUUUGAUUUUUUGAAAAAUAUGUUCUUUUCUAGAACUUGUUUAUUUCGUUUUUCGUUCGACGAUAAUAAAUAACUAUCUAGUUUUUUUUUUAAAUUUAUAUUUUUUUUCUGUAGUUUAUAUAUAUAUAUUUUUACUUUAAGCAUUUCAAUUUCUAUCCGUUUUCUAAAAUAAGAACGAGUUUUUUUAAAACUAUAUUUUUUAGUUUUCAGAAGAGAAACCAUGCAUGCAAGUGAUGUUUAUGCUUGAUUUUUAAAAACAAAAAAUCAUAAACGAACACAUCUUUGAUUUUUGAAAAAAUAACUUUUGAAACACUACUUUCAUCUAUUGAUUUCUUUAAAAUUUGGAAACUAAAAAAACAAAGUUUAACUAAAAAUUUAAGUGUUUAGUCAAUUAGAUUAAUACGGAUAAUAAAACUUUGGGUGAAAUAAAAAAAAUACAUAGAUACAAUUAAAAAAACAAAAAUUAAAUUGUUUAUGAAAAUAAAACUUAGAUUAAAAUUUAGAGAAAUCAUUACUUUUAUUAUUCUUAAUUUACUCGAUUGAGAUUCGUAUAUGGUUGUGAUCACAUCAUAGGUUAUAUUUAUAUGUGAUGAAUGUACCAUUGUCUCUUACAUACUAUAUCGUCUCGACAUCACCCACUUACAACCAAAUCUGCAUAAAAUUAAUAUAUGUGAAUAAGUAUUAAUAUAUGUAUAUAUUAUUUUUUAGAUCGUAUUAUUAUGUGGUGAAGUGCACGACUAAUAAAAUCAAUAAUGUAUUGAUACACAACAUAAUUUAAUUAGUUAAUAAAAAUCAUAUUAUAACAAUGAUCAAUAACUUCCCCCUCAUACUUUCCAUUAUUAUUCCCUUCAAAGCUUGCAAAUUGUUGUGGAAAUGGCAACCACAUGUUCCCAUCUAUAUAUGUAAAACAAAAAUAAAUAGAUUCAUUCGUAUGUAUCACAUUUUCCAACAUUAGUUCAAUUUAUAUAUAUGUUUGCUUAACUCGAAUCAAAAGAAAAACAAGUAGCACGUAUUUAUCAACAUUAAAUCAUUGUUUUUCUCAAUUCAAAGAGCUAUGCUAUAAGUUUAUUAAAUCAAAAGUAACAUCUAUAUGCCCGUUAGAAAUCAAAUCAAUAUCGAAAACCCUAAACAAAUUAAGGCCGUUUUUUUGGAUUUGAAUAAUUAAUUUGCAUCCCCUAGUAUUUCUAAUAGUAAUAAAAGUCUCUUAAUUUUCCUAUGGAUCUAUAUCUAUAAAACCUACCCCAAAGCAGCCUUUAUUCUUUUUCUUCUUCUUUAGUAAACCUUCACCAGCUAAGGAAAGUGAAGUUCUUUAAAAUCUGCCAAACAAAAACCAUGGCUUCUCUCUCUCUUCUUCCAUGGUUGAAUAAUAUUCUUCUUAUCAAAAUGUUUAGUUAUUAUAUAAAUAUUAAUUGGGUUGGGACACUUGGGUUUGAUUUUUUUAUAUUCUUAUACUAAUAUUAUAUUUCAAUUCCUAUAUUUUCUAAUAUUUUGGAUAAAAGAAAAGUAUUUUUUUAAAAAUUUCUGGUAUAUAAUAAAAUUUAUCUUAAAAAUGGUAUAUAUUAUUAUUUUAUAAUUUUCUUAUUAUAAAACUAGAAAAAAAUUAUUGGGGAUAAUAAUUGAUAGUUUUUAUAUAUUUCUUAUUUGGUUAAAAAAAAGUCAUUGCCAUUGACUUACAAUACAUAUCCUAUAUAACACGUCAUGAAGACAGCAAUUUCCAUGCAUGCAAAACACGAUAUAUUAAUUCAAUUAGAAUACCAAAGCUUAAAACUUACAAAUAUUUAAAACAAUAUUAUCAAAUAAUCUUCUAAUAUAAAAUAAUUAGUAAUAAUAAUAAUAAUAGCCAAAUAUAUUAAAACUAUUUAUAAAAUAUAAUAAAAUUAAUUUUUUAAAAUAAUUUUUUUUGGUGUUCAUAAUAAUGUAUAUUUUUUUCAUAUCAAUCGAAUAUUAUACAUUAAUAAUAUUUUCUCAUUUUUAUGUCGUUUUUUCAAAUAUAUUUAUAUACAUAUAUGACCAUAAUUAAAAAUCAAAAUGAUAAUACUUAUCCACUUUGCAUAUUUAUAUACAUUAUCUUAAUUUUAAAAUUAUCGACACUUUCACACGUUCCUAUAAAAUUUAAGAUUACUAUAAAAGUUAAAUUGCUAUAAAAGUGAAUCAAGUUUUCAUUAUAUCACAUAGAAAAAUUAAUAAAAAUGUCUAGAAAUAUUAAGUUGUGAACCUAAUAUACAUAAACAAUCAAAUUAAAAGACAAACCUUUAAUUCAAAUAUUCUUUAAGAUUUUAUUAUUUAUGAUAUUGUUUUUCAUAAAUAUUCAAUUACAUAUAUCCUAGCUAUUUCAUAAACUUAAAACCCUCAAAUUUGAGUUUGACCAGAAUUAUACUGAAAUUCCAUUGGGCUUUAAUUUUUUUUAUAGUGUAUUUAAAAGAAAAACGUAUUUUGCAAUAAUUGAAGUAAAUGAAUUAUAUAUAAAGGAAGUAAGCAAGUUGAAAGCAAAUUUAUUUAAAGUCUCAAACCACAGGCUACUGAUCAGAAUGUCAAAUCAUAAGGGUCCAUUUGAUAUGGAUAUUAUUAAACCAAAUUAGUCUUCUUCUUUUCUUUUCUUUUUUAGCAAAACUUUAAAAUUAGAAAAAAGUUUCAAUUUUCUUUUUGCUAUAUUUGAAAAUGCUUUUUACUACCUAAGCAUUUAUUUAUAUAUGAAUAAAAAUAAAUUAAAUCAAGUCAUUUUAAUUAUAUUACUAACGUAAGAAUAUUUGAAUAUAUGUAUAAUUUUGUUGAUCAACAACUCGACAGUGGAUAUUAUUAUGAGUUACGUGCGUAGGGUAUAGUAAUUGGAUUAUUAUUAAUAAACAUCACCAUAAUUUGUUGUUUUCAACUAAUUGUUUUUAAAUUUGUAUUCCAAAAUUUGAAAGUGAGGGUAAGAUAAUAAUAAUAUCAUGUCUUAAUUUUUCAAAAUGACCAAUAAAUUAAAUUAUAAACUAUAUAUUCACUAAAAAUAAUUUAACAAAAACUUUAUUUGCUUUGCAACAAACAAACAAAUAGAUAAAUAAAACACAUUACUUUCAAUAUAUAUCAUAUGUCAAUACUACCACGACACAUCCAUAUAUACAAAGAUCAGCAAGAAUCAAAGUCAAAGUGAAAAAUAAUUUAUAAGAAAAACAAAUGAUAAUGAUAAUGAUAAUAAUAACAAAAUUAAUUAUUUAAUUUUGAGGUUUAAUUAAGAUGGAAAAUUUAAAAGAGUUAUUAACUUAGACUAUAUUUUUUCAUCUAUAAAAAGGAACUCCAAAGGAUUCACAAAAAUCUCACAACUAAGUAAACCGAGAAAAUGGCAAGACACACGAUCGUGUUUUUCGUUGUUCUUAUUGUUCUUAUUUUUCCGUCAGACAUUUUAUGUUAUUCGGAAAAAGAAAUAAAAAAUUGGUGUAGCCAAACACCAUAUCCAGCACCAUGUGAAGAAUUUCUCAAAACCAAAGCUACUACAAAGAAAACUCCAAUAACCACAAAAUCCCAUUUCUUUGAAAUCUUAGUCGAAACGGCACUAGAGCGUGCCGUUUCAGCCCAUAAAAAUGCUCUUUCUCUCGGCCCAAAAUGCCGAAAUUCCAAAGAAAAAACUGCAUGGACCGAUUGCGUUGACCUCUACGACCAAAUCAUAACCCGACUCAACCGAACCUCUGCCCGCUGCUCACCAGCCGACGCUCAAACCUGGCUCAGCGCCGCUCUCACCGCCCUCGAAACCUGCCGGACAGGGUUCGAAGAACUCGGCCUUUCGGCUUUCGGCUACCCAUUGACGGCUAAUAAUGUUUCCAAGCUGAUUAGUGAUGGGUUGUCGGUGAAUAAACCCGCAUCACCGGAGGGGUAUGAGCCGACGACCAUGACUGAUGGGUUUCCCACGUGGGUUAGUCCUGGUAACCGUAAAUUGCUGCAAUCUGAGUCUCCGAAGGCGGACGUAGUGGUGGCGCAAGAUGGGUCGGGGAAUUUUAAGACGGUGAAGGAUGCUAUCUCCGCCGCAAAGGGCGGCGGGAGAUUUGUGAUAUAUAUAAAGUCGGGGGUUUAUAAUGAGAAUUUGGAUAUUAAGGCUAAGAAUGUUAUGAUGGUCGGCGACGGAAUCGGAAAAACUAUCAUUACCGGCAGUAGAAGUGUCGGCGGAGGUUCCACCACGUUCAGAUCCGCUACCGUUGGUAAGCCCUCUCUCUUUUUCUCUUUAAAACUUUCUUUUUCCUUCAAACUUUUCAUUUUUUAUUUUCAUAAAGUUAUUAAUUUAAAUGGGCCCUUCCAAAUAUGAGCUCUACAUAUUACAAAUUAGAGAAUUUAAGUUAAGAUUUAAAAAGCUUUAAUUAAUAUUUGAACUUUAAUAUGAUAACAUUAAAUAGUGGAUAAUGGUUGAUGUGUGUUGCUAAACCUAUUCUUUUUUCGAAAGAUGAAAAGUAAAAUUCACGAAUUCUAUUUAACCAUAUAGAUUAGUGGAACAACGAGUUGUUUUUGUCAAAAUAGAAGUUUGUAGGAGUAGAAAAGUGAAAAAAGGAUAUUUUUUUAACUCUAUAGUUAACUAUCAAAAUUUUAACAUUAAUCAAUAAGAAUUAGCUAAGACUUAUGAAAGACAUAAAAUUUAACUUCAAAUCAAACAUUAAUUUUUUAAAUAAUCUACUUUGGCAACUUCCCCUUAAUUAAAUAGGAUUAGAGUGAUAAUACGAGGUCUUGAAAUUUAUUAUAAACUUAGUUGUUGUCAUUGUAUUUAUUAUAAACUUGCUUGUAGUGCAUGGCGCUACCAUCAUCUCAUAUGUCACGAUGUGUCGGGAAAGUCAUUGAUUUAGGGAAGAUAAAAACACAAUAAUAUUAAAUUUUAUGUAAUAUAUUAUUGGAUUUUAAAAAAAUCAAAAUAACAUUAGAAAAAGGUUAAAUGUACCUAAUACAUAUGAUAAUGUCAUGUAAGUUGACUUUAUAUAUAAACUAAUCUAUGGAUGAAAAUUCACAAUGUCACAUUAUGAAUUUUUAGUUUCAAUUUAAUAUUAAUCGGCGACCAAUAGGAAAUCAACAAACCUACUUUGAGUAAAUUAGUAAAUUUUGCUGACUGAUUUAAUUGCUAAUAGUAAUUAAUAUAGUUUUGAAUUGUUCUUCAUUGCCAAACCCUAUAAUUCUAUGUUUUAUAACUUUCUUGAGAAUUUAUUCAUUUCUAUUGGUUGUAAUUAAUUUUGGGGUUGAAUUAUAUGCACUUAAGUGACUUUUAUUUCAAUAUAUUUAGAAGUGUGAAUCGUAUGACCCUCUGUUUAAUUAAUUAUAGUUGUAGUAAUUAAAAAUUGACGUGUGAAAUAAUUAUACGGUAGUUUUAGUUUAAAUUUUUAAGAAACCCUACAAAGUUAUAGCUACAAUUAGAGUAAUACUUUUUAAGGUUUAUAUUUAAUUCGGUUUCUAAUUGAACUUCAAAAAGUGACUAUUUUGGUCCUUUUCUUUUCAUUUUCUUAGUACAAGUGGAGAACGAAAGAUUUGAACCUAAUUAAAAUCCUUUGGAUUUGAGUACAUACUUGUGACAUUUUAACUAAACUUUUAAUGAACUUUUUGUUUUCAUUUUUAAGGGAUCAAAAUUGUUACUUUCUUGAAAUGAAAGAAUCAAAUAUAUAUAAAAAUGUAUAGAAAUGUAUGAAAAUGUAUAGAAAUGAAAAUGCACAUUUUUAAAAUAUAAAGACCAGGAGAAUAGGGUUAAAAGUACAGAGAUCAUGAAAAUUAGUAAUAUGAUAUCAUUUUAAAGAUCAAAUAAACACAAUAUUAUUGGUUAGGAAAGGUAUAUAAAUAAUUGAAUUUAACUUGAGCAUAAAGCUAUCAAAUUGGAAUAAUUUGGAGGGAUCUAUUUGGCAUUAAAAUCAUUUUUAUAACAAAGUUGAUAUAAUUUGUUGUUACUCAAAAUAAUUGGAUAAGGUCUUGGAAAAACAAGGUAUAAUUUAUAGUAAAAAGGGAAAGAAUAAUUAAUAUAAAAAGUGAACCCACAAUGUGUUUCCUAAUUAUAUAUAUGGGUUAGAAUUUGUAGAAAAAUAAUAGAAAGAGAAAUAGAAAUAUUUGAUGUGGCAUUUUGUUUGAAUUAUUGAAGUGGAAAUGAUAUCUAUAGGGCCAUAUUUUGAUUUAGGGUUUAAUGUGGGAUGUUAGAGAAAAUUAUACAUAUAUAUAUAUAUUAUAUGAUAUGACAAAAAGAUCAAGUAGCUUGGUUGGUUGGUGUGUAAUUUAAUGGGACCAAAAGUUUCUAAUUAUUUUACUAUAUAUAUAUAUGCACACACACUCAUAUAUAUUAAAAAGAAAUAAAAGAAGGGGUAGCAUAAUAGAUUCUAUUAAAAUUAGUUGAAUUUAGCUUUAUAAAGCAAGAAAGUGACAUGUUUUGAAUUCAUUCAUCACUAUUCAACUUUUGUGAUUUGUAGUUUUCAUCCAAAAGAAUAUUUAUGUUAAUUACAAUUUUCCAUCUUUUUUAUUUUAAAAAGGUAUAAUAACUAAUUAUAUAUAUAUAUAUAUAUAUAUAUAUAUAUAUAUAUAUAUAUAUAUAUAUAUACUAGCUAAAAUCAUAAAUAUAAAAUAUUUUGUUAUGAGUAUAUUGUAUAUAAUUUAGAAAUUUAUAAAAAAUAUUUAUAUUUUAUAGAUAAACCAAAUGUAUUUUUUUUUUGAAAUUUUUUAUUUUUUUAAAAAAUCCUAUUAGUUUCUACUGAUAAACAUUUUAGCAAUGCAUUCAUAUAUAUAGUAAUAUAAUCUGAAACUUUAUUAUAUUUUUUAUUAUACUAUAUUUAAAAAUGUUCUAAAAUAAUUAGAUUUUGAAUGCAUAUCUUAUCUAUCUACCUCAUAGAAAAAUUAUUUAAAAUCACUCUCAAAUCAAACUCACACCCAAUGUCAAACUUAAUCAUAGCUCAAUGAAUUAGAAAACAAUAAUUAACUUACAAAUAAGCAAUUCACAUUCUCAAAAUACUUUUUUAAUAAAUGAUUUUUUUUUAAUUUGUAAUAUAUAAAAAAAAGAACUAAAACGUUGAAGUGUUUUGUUUGCAAAAAUAGCUACAAAAUAAACUAUAAAAUAUAUUGAUGAAUUAAUUUUGAUUGUGAAUAUUUGUAGGUUAUUUAAUUUAAAGCAAAAUUGUCAAAAAAAAAAUUAAUGAGUCUUAUUGUGUUAAUUAACUAAAUUGUGAACGUCGGUGAAAUCACAGCCGUUGAUGGAGACGGAUUCAUCGCCAGAGACAUAACUUUCAGAAACACCGCCGGAGCAAAGAACCACCAAGCGGUAGCGCUCCGAUCAGGUUCAGAUCUCUCAGUCUUCUACCGUUGUGGCUUCGAAGGCUAUCAAGACACUCUCUACGUUUACGCCGAACGCCAAUUCUACAAACAAUGCGACAUUUACGGUACCGUCGAUUUCAUCUUCGGCAAUGCCGCCGUCGUACUCCAAGAUUGCAACAUCAUCGCCCGUGAUCCUCCGAACAAAACCAUCACCCUCACCGCCCAAGGCCGCUCCGAUCCGAAUCAGAACACCGGAAUCUCCAUCCACAAUUGCCGAAUCACAUCCUCUGGCGGCCUCAGCGGCGUCAAGGCCUAUUUAGGCCGCCCAUGGAGGCAAUAUUCCCGGACGGUUGUUAUGAAAUCCUCGAUCGGAGGAUUCAUAAGUCCGGCGGGGUGGAUGCCGUGGAGCGGUAAUUUUGCCCUAAAUACGCUGUAUUACGCCGAGUAUAUGAAUACGGGGCCGGGAGCGUCGACGGCGAAUCGGGUGAACUGGAAGGGUUAUCAUGUGAUUACCAGUGCGUCGGAGGCUUCGAAGUUCACCGUGGGGAAUUUCAUCGCCGGUGGGUCUUGGUUGCCGAGUACGGGUGUGCCUUUCACUUCCGGUCUCUAAUUUGGCGGUGUAAUUUUGUAUGUAUUAUUAAAAAUAUUAAUGAUCGUUUAUUUUUUUUAAUUAUACUUUAAUAAACAAGUUUAUCAUUAAGAAAUUAGAUUUUAUUAUAUCUUUUAAAAAAAUUGAUUUUACUUUUCUUUUCGUCUCUCAAUUCAAAAUGGUUGGGUUUGACAAGAGAAUUACCAUUCAAGAGGGGUAUUGUAUUACAAUUUACAAUGUAAGUUUUUCAAAUAAAUGAAAUAUGAUUUGUUUGAGUAAUUGUUGUUGUUCUCUGUGUGUGUUUUGUAUGAUUUUGUUGGUUUUCAUCACUAAAUUUUUAAUAAUUUUUUGAAAAUUUUGGAUCAUUGCUUCUAAUUAGCUAUGAAGUAAGUGAUGUAAUAAUUCAUCAAGCAGAGCUUGGAUUGUGAAGAGAGAUACAAAAGAGUUAGCCAUGACAUUAGUUUGGUUUAGAAUUUAAAUUUGAAUUGUCUUUUGGAUAGACGGUUUUGUUUAGGUGGAAUAGCAAAUUCAAAGACGUUAACUUCUUGAUCCAAAAUCAUAUUAUUGACUAUUAACUUAAAUGAACAACUUUAAAUUUGUUAGAAAUUGAAUAAAAACCUUCAUUCACAUACUUUAGUCUAUAUUAAUUUGAUUAUAGAAGAUGAAAUGUGUUGUGAAUAGAUUUAUUGAGAUCGAGAGAUUGAAUAAAAGUAGAACGUGGCCAACGAGGUUGUAUGAAACCAAUAACCAUCUCAUGGUUUUAUGAAGUUUAGAAAACUAGUAAGAAACAUAAUGGUAGCUUAGGUAAUCAAUGAGGAAUCUAGUGGUAGUUUAAAGAACUCAUAAGCGAGCUUAUAGGUAACUUGACAGACCUCUUUAGGAUCCAUGAAAAACAUAAGAGUCACCUGGAAAAUCUUAGAAAAUACAUAUGAAUGAUUUCUGCAAGACCCAUAAAACCUUAUAAAACCCAUGAAGGACCUUAAAGAGAUUUGGAAUUGUUCGGAUUCUCAACAAAUGAUCCAUAACUAAAUCAUUCAAGAGUUGGGUGGAUAAUGAACUUACUUCCAAUGGUGAUAGUGUAACUAUCCAAUGAGAGUAACUCAACAAUCUCUGAAAUUUAAGAGAGACACUUUUAAAUUCAAAUAUCAGUUACACGUUACUAUUCUAUACAAACGAUAUUUCGGUGGUCAAAGACGUGCUCAAAAUCCUAUAUCCAAGACUAAUUUGGGUGUCGAAACAAAUGCAUGUUUCAAGUCUAAUGGCCUAAGUGAAUCCAAUUCAAAUGGUGGGCUUUUGGGCAAUUGAAAAUUGGUUUAGUUGUCCGGAAUGUCAAAAUUUCAAUUUGCUAUAUCUAUUACGAUAUUGAAGAGAUUGGUGUUUCUUCUUCCCUAAAAUUUCUUAGGUUUAAUAAAACCUAAAUAUUUUCUAAAUUAAAUAUUGAAGAAUUUAGUAGACACAAAAUUAAAAGUAAAGAAUGUAUAGUCCAACAUAGAAAUAAUGUAUUAGAUGGAAGUGAUACGCACAGUGGUUGGCUUCUUCGAUCAAUCACAAAUUUUAGUUAGAAAAAAUAUCAAUCUAUACUCUCCAAAAUGGUAACAGUUAAAGCCAUUCUUUACAUUUCAUUCAAACAUGUAAUUGUUGAUAAUAAACUCCUCAAUUGCCAUAAUGGAAUUUAUUUAGAUCCUUUUAUUAUUACUAUCUUUGAAAAUCGUCGAUACAUCAACCCUUAUAAUUAUACAAUAAUGUAGAUUUAUUUUGAAGUUUUAGAUUAAGAGAAUGAUGCAUGAACUAUUUACAAAGGAAGUAAGUCAUCACUAAUCACUUAGGAUUCAAUUUGAUUCGAUAAUUAAACUUCCAAGGGUUUAAUUAAUAAGAUUAUAAAUUACCAAUUCGGCUAUAAAUUGACGAUAUUACCCUAUUUUCCUAUUCGGUGGUCAAAUUAAAUAGUGAACAAAAAAUAAAGUCAGUUCGUUCAACAGUACUUUCAGAAAAAAGAAAAAGACCAAUAUAAAAUUGAAAAUUGAGAACAGAAAUUCCUAUUCUUUCUCCAGUAAAAAAAUGGAAUUUGGUCCAAUUAAAUGCAAAUUCCUGCAAAAUUCCCUAACUGUUUUAUGGAAUUCUGUUUAAAUCAAAAUCAGAUUGGAUUUUGCCCAACUUCAUUGGCAGAGUUAAAACUCCUUGGCUUCUUGAAUUCAACAUCAACAUCUUGAUGGAAUGUUCAAUUCAAAUGGCCACAAAAGAAACUAUGCUACCUUGAACAGCUCUUGAACAGCUCUCGACUCAGCUCAACUCGAAAUUGAGCACCUAGAGAGGUGCUAGUGUUUCAUGGUAAGAUCACUCAGAAUCUCAUAGCUCAAAAACAUGGUGGAGAUUCACAAUCUGAUAUGUUCCAACGCAGUGAAGGAAACGUUCAAUUAACAAAAAUUGCUUAAACCAAUUGAUUAACUACAGAUUAUACAUCUGACUUUUAAAUUUGAUGUCUUCAACAACUCAUUAGUCACAUGAAGAUAGAGUGUUUAAGUUUUCAUUAAAAUAUAUUAGUAGACUCCAUGGAGAGGGCUUGUUCUCUUGUUGGUCAAAGUAAGUCACUUUGCCUACUAGCAAGAGAGAUGGAUAACUGAAUAUGUAUACAAAAGCAUACAUGUGGAAGUGAUAAGAAAAAGCUAUAUUAUGCUAGUACUAGGAUAGGAUUACAACAGAUAAUAGAGGACAAGGAAGAGAAGACCUAGAAGCAAUGCUCCUGACCCGAAACCGAAUCCAUCAGCAUCGUAGCCAGGGCUGCUGGAAUGCUGAACUGCAAAAGUGGAUGAAGAAGCAUGAAGAACGGGAAAGAAUAUAGAAAGAAAGUGUACAAGCAGUAAGAGGAAAAGAAGAAUCACUGCAACCCAAAUGCCCAGUUCAAGUAGAGGCUCUAUGCUUUCCCAGAUGGAUGAAAGAGUAGGCCAAAAUAUUAUCAUCCCCAGAAAUCCAACUAUGAUACAAGGUACAACAGGAGAUGGACCUGCAGUAGCAUAUCCCAUUAUCUUUCUCUGAAUCAGAACUUUGGGUUGCAAAAGAGUGAUAUUGAGAGGGGAAAAGGCUGUUUGUUGGUGGUAGGAGUGACUUUGGAAAAGCUUCGCUUCUUUUCAUGCUUUGUGAAGGUCAGCAUAUUAGUUGAUCAAUGACGAAGACUAGAGAAUUUCAGUUUAUUUAAUCACGUCUUAUAGAGAAUAUAGGUUGGAUUGGAUGCCAACCCGAGCAAACUGUUUAAAGCUUGAUGAGUAACUAAUUACUUAUCAAUUGAAAGAAAUAGAAAGGAGACAAUGUAUGUAUCUUUGUGGGUCAUGAUGGUCUAGUCUAUGCCAAGUAAGAUGGAUAAUCAGGUACCAUAAGAAAGGCACCUGAUUAUUUUUACAUUUUUAUUAAAAUUAAAUGAUGUUAGAUAAUGACAUUUAGUUAAAUGAAAAAUGUGUUUGAAUGACAUCAUAGGUGGGCAUACAGAUAAAUAAUAUGCCAAAGUCAAGAGGUUCAGAUUUAUCAUUUGCGGGAGCAGUUGGAAGUCCAGAACCGUCCAAUAUCUGUACUUUAUUCUAUUUGACAUAAUAAAAUAACAUGGAUGGAGACCAAGAAAGAACCUGAUAAAUAAGCAUCCCGUAGCUCAAUGAACACUCAGCAUCUGUAUAGCAGAUAAGAUCACUUGAAUAGUAAACUGCAACACUGGAAAAUAUCUGUAAAAGCAGGAUUAUAGGGGAAACGAAUGACAAUGUCUUACAAGAUUAUGAGCAAACAGCCUCUUGCCAUUGGAGUUUUUUUUUUUUUUGUUAGGGUGGUUACAAGUUCAUAGUUCGAUUAACUAAGUCUUUAAAUUGUUUGAGAUAGGAACUUCAAUAUUCAAAAAGAAUAUAACUUUCCAUUCAUCCCCAUAUAAGAAUUAAACGGAGAAGGAAAAUAGUCUGAUCUCCUCUUGACACAGUUGAAAUUUACCGAGAAUUCAUAAUGUAUUUCACUGAAUCUCCUAAAACUACAAAAUUACAGCUUGUAAACCAUGUAGAUGAUGGUGGUGGCCAGACACAAGUGCAGUUCUUUCAUAAUGUAGGAUUAUAUCGGAGAUGUUGCUCAUAGUAGUUAAUCAACUGCAGUGAGAGAGUAGUUGUAAAUACUAGCAAGUCAAAAACCAAUUAAAGAAGGUAAAGUACGGAAAUUUGAUCAAUUACCAGAUGUGGAUUGUUAGCUUUAAGAAAUUUGUUAUUCACCGUCACUUCUUUUCCAUCCGACCUGCAUGCAAAAAAUGAGAUCCACAAUCACUGCUUCAGAUAGAAUAAUACUCAACUAGCAAAGGAAGAGCAGAUAGUGUUGCAUAACAAACCUCACAGCCAAGAAGGUUACGAUUACAUCUGGGAUGUUAUUUAAUACUGAAACUGAAUAACCAACAGGCCUGAUAAUCCUUGUGAUGGUAGACACAUUUCUGGAGUGGCCUGACGAACUAGGAUUCUGGGGUCCUAAUUGUUCACUUGGAUCAAUAGGCUCAAUGCUUACAGUUGCUGCAUUUUGUUUUAAUCCUUGUUCAGGCAAGGCUGAAUCCUUCGUGAACCUUUUCACCCUACUGGACUUCCUUCUCUUGGCACCAGUGGAGUGACUUACCUGAGCAGAACCCACCACGCAAUCGGCCUUGGAAACAUCAUAAACAAGGCUAACAUCGUUAGAAGCCACUGUUUUUUUCUCAGAAUCAACCAUGUUGCCAGAUAUCGAUGCAUUGAAGUCGAUAAGUUUCAGAUCAUAUUCGUCUUUCUUUCUACUUCCAUCAAAUUUCCCAUCUAGCUCUCCUUCAUGAAUAGAGUCUAAGGGUUCUUGAGAAAUAGGAAGAUCACGAUGAAGUUUCUUGUUAAAUGGAGCGGCCGAUAGACGAUCAUCCAGAGUACUGAUAACUACAUCCGUGACAUUAUCAAUGGCUAUAAUUUGGAGAUCUUUUUCCUCUUGAGAUUCACUUUCAAUGUCUUCGUCCUUGCGCUUCCGCUUCCGCUGCUUUCCUGAUCGCGAUUGACAAAACCUGAACAACACAGAACAGUCCCCAGUUGUGAGGAAAUUUUCUAAAUUACAUUUCCAUUCUCCAUAAGUUUGCUGCGGUCAUUUCACAAAAUAAAAAAUAAUUGAAUAGGUCCAAGAACCUUUCUUCAUAUUCUUCAAUAAAUUCAAAGCAUGACUGGAGAUUGUCCAAGGGUUCCCAUGUAUUUUCUGUCUCUGGCCAACCACGCCUGUCAAAAAAAAAUUCCUGAAGCUACUUUCACGUAUAUCAAGAACAAAUCACAGCAAUAGCUGAAAGAACUGUACAGUUAACAAACAGAAAAACCUCAAAAUCGUACACACCAUUUGACGAGGUACUGAAGCUGUCCCUAUAAAUCCGAAAAAGAAAAAAAACUCAAAUCAGACUCGUAAAAGAACAUCCAGAAACAAAAUCGCCAAAACAACAAAUCCGAGAAUAAAAUACCAAACUAAUUCCAUAACAAAACACCGGAAUCAAAAGCUAUUUCCACAGUAAAUCGAAAUAGAAGGGAAAUAAACAAAUAAACGCACUCUCGUAAACAUCCACAAUUUCUCAAUUACAUUCACAUUCCAUAAUUUUUCGAAUAGAGUGACCGAAAUACCUAACCAAUUCCUAGAACAUAACCCCAUUACAGACGUAACGUUAUAUCCACAGUUUACGAAUAGAAAGACCGAAAUACCUAACCAAUUUUCAGGCGCUGAUUUUUUAUCCACAGUUGUCUACCAAAUUCUGUUUACAAACGGAAUCAUGAUAUAUCUAAAACAUAACAUUAUCCUAGAACAAGUAGGUACAAUGGCGGAAGAGACCAAAAUACCUUACGAACUCUUUUCCGCCGAAUGGCUUCAACUUCGAAGAAGCCCUCAUCUAGGUUAGUACGUUCAGAAGCAGAAACAUCAGGUAUGACAUUGUCUUCGCCGUUGACCACUCCGGCGUCGUCGAUGGGUAGAGGAAUUUGCACAGAAGCAUUGUGAAGUGAAGAAGGUGAAUGUGGAAAUAAAAUUUUGGGUUCACUACCGUUGUUGUUAGAGAUUGAAGGGGCUGAAUCGCCAUUAAGAUGAGUUGAUUGAGUGAAAUCAGGGAUUGGAAGCGCCACUGUUUCAGGUUCAGAACUUCCCGCCGCUUUCUUCUUCCCUCUCCCCAUUUUCGUUCUAUCCCUCCGUUCCUUUCCUUUCCCUCUCUUUUCAUUUUUCAAUUUAUACAAUAUAAAAAAAAAGAUAAUUAAGUGAGCGCUAAUCGAAUUUAAUUAAGCUAAUUUGGACAUCAAAGCAUAAGUAAUCCUUUAGUCCGUUUUUAACACGGGUCUUUCACUCCCCAUUUUAUUUUAUUAAAUUAAUAGUAUUUUCCUUCCAACUUAAUAUUAGAUUCAUCAAAUGACAAAAACAUUUAUAAAAAAAUAGCUAAUGACACAUGCUUUUUAUAUAUUGCGAACACAGUAAAAUUAGUGAUAUUAGACGAUGAUUAUAGAAUUAUCAAAAAACUAUUAAACUGUAAUCAUAGAGUUAUUAACUUUAAAAUUUACUAUUUUUUUUGUUGAAAAAAUUGGGUGACAUUAGCUCUAUUAUUAUAAUUUUUUUAUAUUUCUGCAAUAGCCCUUUGAUUUUAGGUAUUUUUUAAAAAAUAUAAAAAAUUGUGAAACUAUUUAAAUUUCAUACAACAAAACCACAAAAAAAAAAACAUCAUUAAUUACACUUGCUUAUAUGUAUGUGUGUAUAUAUAUAUAUAAAACCCGUUUCUAUUCAUGUUGCUUUCUCAUUACAAUAAACGAUGGUGUUAUCAUGAUCAGUGUCCAUUAUCCAACACAUGAAGCUCUUGGAAUGCAUUCUUAUCAAAGACUUGUUAUCAAUAGAGUAAUAAAAGUACAAAGUGUUUUUGUU
Molecule: long non-coding RNA, 64821 nt
Filed under: Cucumis sativus (cucumber)
Lineage: Eukaryota; Viridiplantae; Streptophyta; Magnoliopsida; Cucurbitales; Cucurbitaceae
Description: long non-coding RNA (CSAT_LNC000916)
Rfam family: tRNA (bases 29727-29799)
Source: RNAcentral